CACCUUCAUCCUCAGAGAAGGUGAAAUCCAGUUGUUCCUCUUUUAGAUCUACAUCUUCAAAGACAUCGUCGACAACGACAGCUUCGUGAGGUUAAGAUCUUGUAGCAAUCAGCGGAUCUGCAACUAGACCAACAAUGUUGGGACAAACACCUUUAUGGGGGAUUGAUAUAGAGGAAGAAAUAUAUGAGGUUGACACCCGAGGAACAACCCCAGAUUCGGCAUCGGGAGUAGCAACAGGGGCAUGCAGGUUGUCUUGUCUACGUGGUACUGUAGAAGGAGCCUUUCUUUUAUUUCUGGCCAUUUGACAUGAAGAACGGGCGGGAAACGGAGAAAGAAGGGGAAACCGAGAGAGAACUUGAAAGCCAAGACAAGGGAAAAAGAAAACCGAGAGAAGAUCAAACACAAUAAGCUACCAGCGAACACAAGGGAAUCAACUCCAUGAUGAUGAAUUUGAUUUUAUGUGAGCCAUGAAGCUUGCCAAGAUGGAUGAGUCCCUUUCCUAGAGAGAUAAAAGAAAUUUUGAUCCACCAGGUGAUGUCCCUUAAAAGUGGUAGCAUGUUGUUACAUGUGCUGGCAGUAGCGGUGACACGUAAUGCCAUCACCACUAUCCCAAAAAAGAUCUAGUGCUCUCCUAAACACUCUGGCAACGCUUGGACAAUUCUAACAACUUUAGAAGGUCAAUUCCUAAACUGAAAUGAUUUUUUUGUUGAUUUAUAACAUGAUUGCAAAUAUUUAUGGUAAUUUUUAUGUUUUCUCAAAUAUGUAUUUGUAUUGCAACAUUGGAAAUUUUAUGAGUUUGAUAGCGAUAUUUGAAGUGUUGUGGGUUCGUGCCUGUUACGUGAUAACCUCAAGAGUAUGAUGCUACUGAUGAAUUUAUUUUUAUGGUGAAAUAAUGAUGAAAAUCAAUACCAUACGAUGAGGAUGGGAGGAUGGGUAGCAACAGGUGUAUCUGGGUGUGAAUUUUAGUGUGAAUUUUUAAUGUGUGUUGAUGUUUGUAAUUUAUGAAGGUGUGAAUUUUUAAUGUGUGUUUGCAAUUUGUGAAAUUUGAUGUGCAUUGAUGUUGUCUUUGAAUUGUGAAAUUUAUGCAUUGAUGUUUUUUAUAAUUAUGAAUUUUAAUUUGUUGAUUGUGAAUUUUAAUGUGUUUAUGUAGUUUUAAAAUUGUCAAUUUUAAUGUUAGACAUUUUUAAAUUUUAUGUGUGUAUGGUAGAAAUAUUUUCACAUAUAAAAAAUCCACCAAAAACAUAAAACAACUAUGAAUAAAAAAAUGUCACAUUCUUUUUUCAUUGUCUUUAUUUGUGUUUUCCUGAUUUUUUUGUGCAUUAUACUAUUAUUUCUUUUUUUUUUAGUUUAACGUGGGUGUCCGGACCAGCUUGCGCGCACCUCGACUAAUCCCACGGGCCCUGAAGUUAACGACCAUGUAAGCCUCUAGUGGCCAUCAUAUGAGCAACCACAGGGCUCGAACCUGAGACCACAGAGGGAGCAAACCUCUUGGUCCCAAGCUCUUACCACUGAGCCACCACCUAGAUGGUUACUAUUAUUUCUUUUGUUAUGAGAGGAUCUGGGUCAGGUCAACAUGACCUUGUAUCCAUUGAACACAAAUGACACCUUUCAGGACAUGUUAAAUAAAGUAGGUCAAAGCUCAUUUUUUGCCAUCCACAUGGACCUAACGCCCAUUUUAAAAUCCUUAAAAAAUAUUAUCCAUUAAAAAUAAAACUAAAAAUCUUGCUAGUAACUUGUAAUAUUUGAUAUAAUAGACUCAUAACGAGAUUUUAUUUUGAAGAUUGAUGGGGAUUAAUAUAUCCUUUUGAUUUUUUUUUCAAAGAAUAAAAUUUGAAGUCUAAUAUUCACUAAUAAUGAAAUUAGGAGCGUUAAAUUUUCUAUGUUGAUUAAUGGAUCUCCUUCUAAGGAAUUCUUAAUGGGUCGUGGGAUUCACCAAGGUUACUCUAUUUCUUCGUUCCUUUUUCUAAUUGUAGUAGAGGGGUUAUCUGUUUUGUUUUAAAGAGCAUCUACAACUGAUCUUUUCAAACGUAUCCCUUUUGGAGAUAGCUUUUACCUUACUCAUCUGCAAUGUGUAGAUGUCACUCAUCUGCAAUGUGUAGAUGACACUUUGAUUUUCAUGCCUAGUAAUCUUCACAUGAUCAAAAUAGUUAAAAGAAUUCUGUUGUAGUUCACUAUUUGUUCAGGUUUGCACAUUAACUUCCACAGAAGCUCUUUAAUUGGCAUAAAUGUUGGGGAAGAUAGUUGUGCAAGUAUGGCAUCUUCAGUCUUUUACAGAUUUGGUUCCUUGCCUUCCUCUUACUUGGCCACGCCUUUGGGAUCCAAUCAUAAAAGGUUGUUUACAUAGAAACCUAUUAUUGAGAAUUUUAGAAGAAAAAUGAGCAUGUGGAGAGGUUGUAUGCUUAGUAUGGCAGGGCGUAUUUGCCUAAUAAAAAAUGUCCUAAGCUUAUUGCCAAUCUAUUAUAUGUCCUCUUUUCUUAUGUUGAAGGGUGUCUGUAAUAUCUUGACCUCUAUUUGGUGAAGAUUCUUGUGGCCUAGGGUGGUGAAAUAGAAGAAAAUUUGUAAGGUGCAGUUGUGUAUUGUGGUGAAAGCUAGAAAAAGAGGAGACCUUGGGUUGGGUUCUUUAAUGUCUAAAAAUAUAUCCAUGCUUUUCAAAUGGAUAUGAAGGCUAAACUCGUCAGGCCAUACCUUAUGAAAACAAGUAACAUCCCAUUUUUACUCCCCAACUUUCAAGAAUGGAACCCUAAAAUUACAUGGUAAUAUUUCCCUAUUUUGGAAAGAUAUUUUGUCAAUCUUGGAUCAAAACUGUGUUAUCGGCUCAGUAUUGCGUCAAAAACAUUAAAUUCAUGAAUGGUGAUGGGUCCUUCAUUCUCUUUUGGUCUGAUGUGUGGAUAUGAUCAAAUGAUUUGCGUAGCAUUUUCCCCAGGCUUUACAAAGUUUCUGCUAUUCAGAAUGGUUUGGUUCAUGAGAUGAGUCAAUGGGUGAAUGAUCAUUGGCGAUGGAAUUUGGUUUAGCGUAGGAAUCUCUUAUCUUAUGAAGAGCAUCAAUAUCAUCAAUUGCUUUCAAUGCUGGAGCGAAUGAUAAUUCAGUACGGAAAAGAUGACAAAAUCAUAUGGUCGUAUAAUUGUGAUGGAAGCUUCUCAAUUAAGUCAUGUUGCACCCUAAUUGAUAUUACAUCUUCUACUAAUGAUAGAGUUUUUAGAGCCAACAUCUGGAUUAAAAAGGCCCCUUUAAAAGUUCAAGUGUUCUUUUUGUUGGCAGUUCUGGACUAAGUUAGUACAAGAGCUUUUCUCCAUCACUAGAAUGUUUUGCCCGCCACUCAAGCUUCUUGUAUCUUUUGCAGCUCAGAUUUGGAAAUUUCAAAGCACCUUUUGAUACACUAUAACUUUUCUAGGAGUGUUUGGAUUAAAGUUUUGGAUUGGUAGGGUAUCCAAUGUUGUUUACCUAGCACAUUAGACUCGUUGCUUCUACAGUGGUCCGGAAUGGUGCAAGGCAAAUUCUAAAGGUUAGCUUGGAGACUAAUCUCUAGUAGUACUAUUUGGGGUAUUUGAUUGUUGAGAAACUAUAUUGUUUUUGAGAAGGGAACUAUAAGCUUGUUUGAUUAUUUUUCCACCAUCCUUCAUCAGGUUGCUAUUUGGCUGCAUACUCUGGAUUCAAACUUCACUUAUACAAAAAAUGACCUCUUAAGAUCUUCUGAUAGCAUCAAAUUAUGGUGUAAUAAGAAAUCUUAGGUAGUCUCUUUGUUUCUGUUGUAGCAUAUUAGUUUUUUUUUUCUGUUUCUCUAAGUCUGUUCCUUUUUUCUUUCUUUUUUGCCAAGUCCCUGUAUUUUGCUUUGGCUAUUAGUUUUAUAGCCUUUUCAAUAUACUCUCGAUGAUUAAAAAAAAUCUAAUAUUCAUUAAUAAAAAAAUCAAGAGUAUUAACAUCAAUAUCACUAGAUCCUACUUCCAAGUAGAUCACCUAAAAUAAGUGCUACUUAGAUAUUUUAGGACUAAGGUACAAAAAUAUCAUUCAACAAACAUUGGGAAUGAAACUCAAAUGUCAUAGGACAAGUGAACUUCAUCAAGGUUUCUUCCAUGGGCUUUCUCUAGUAUUUAGGUUGGGUCUAUAGACCUAACAUAGCCAUAUUAGUACAUUUAUGGACAUAACUUGAGUUGUGAUAUGUGAUCACCACAUUAUAGUUGUUAACUCACUAAAACAACUAGGAGUCGUAAAAACUAAGUAGAUUUUUAAAAUGGAUAGGUCUUGAGUUUUUUACUAAGGUUUAAUUUAUCACAAUAAAUCUACAUGCACCUUAUAGAUGGAACAAUGGAAGUUUAAACAUAACAAGACCUUAACAAUUUAGGACAAGACAACCAAUGUAGCCUAUAUUAGGUAGAAUGUUUAGGGGUGAUAGUUUUUUUUUUUAGCAUAAUCAGUCUCUUAUUAUAGAUCUCUAAAAACUAGUUAGAGUUUUUAGUGAUCAUAAUAUUAGGUAGUGAUUGCUUUACUAAGAUUAGACAUUUCAUCUUUCUCAAACAUAUAGAAAAGACUUAUUUCUAAUAGUUUUGAGAAAAGAGGAUGAGUCACCACGAUGUCAACUACAACAAGAGGUAAUAGUUUAGGGACCAUUUGGGUGGAACCGUAAAAUGUACCUUUCUUAGACGACAUGUCAUUUAGCCUAUCAAAUGGCAUGUCAUUCAAUUACAUCAGAAAACUCUAAUUACAGGAAAUAUAGAUGACCUGUUACCCAGCUCAUAAAUCUUAAUUACAAAUGACAUGUUGUCUGACCAUAACCUAAUUCCUAUAAGAUGACAUAACCUUUAAAUCUUAUUAAAACCCUAAGAACGAUGCUUCAUUUAAGCCAACUCAUCACUUUUAAAAGACAUGCAUUUUUUUCAUGUAUGCCAACCCAUUUUCCUUUGACCUUUUUUUUCUUAAAUGACAACAUACAUUUUCCCAUAAACUGACCUCAUACCUCUUCCUUGUAGCCUUUUUAAACUUAUAAAUACCUUAUGAAGCCAGUUGAAGAAUAAUAUCAAGGCUGUAACCAAACCUGUAAAGUGGGAAGAAAACCUACUAUAUUGUCAAGCUAGCCUUGUAAUAGAAAAUAAGACAAGUUUAAGAGAGAUAAAGGUCUGAGAUAUCUUUCCAAAGAUAAAGGUGUUGACCUUGCCAAUAUAAUGACUCUAAAAUCCUUCUUCAUGGCCUAUAAAAAGGAUCCUUAAGACAUUCUUUACAGGGGGUAAUCAAUAGAAAAAAAAUAUGAAGAAAAGGAGAAAAGAAGAAACAAGAGAGAAAUAGAGAGGAGAUCAUACAACGAGGUUUGGAAGAGAAAGAAAAAAGUAAAGACAGAGAAAAAGAAAAGGGAAGAAAAAGGUCAUAAACAAUAAGAGAAAAAGGAGGUAACUAUAACAAGGAAGAAAAAGAAGGGUGAAAGAAAAAAAUAGUAAGGCAGCAUGGCAAUUACAAAUAGAGAAAAGGAAGGGAGAAGAAAAAAAAUUGAAAAAAUAAGAGUAAGCAAAAAGAAAAAAGAAAGGAAAAAAGGAGAGAUCAAGGGAUUAUUUAGGGAAUGGGAGAGAAAUUACAUUAUAACUUUCAAAAUUAGGCUCUAAAUACAAUGAUUUUGAUGAUAGCAAGGUUGUAAGUUGUUACAGGUCCUCAUCUUUCAUAGAAAUAAAAAAGAAUACCUAGUACCUUUGUGAGUACAAAAUAAAUCCUAUACUACCACAACCACAAGUAUCACUCUAAUAACCCUAUUUUAUUCUAUGCAUGAGGUUUAUGUCUUUUUUUUUCUUUUGUUUCAACAUGUGAUAUAAUUCCUUUUUUUUUUUCGUGAACAUGGUGUGUAAAUAGGUAAUUGUGUCUAGUAGAUCUCAUAUCUAAUGGUUUUAAGUCUUGUCUUAGGGAUGUUGCUUUGGUUUGUAUGAGAGGAGAAAUAGAAGCAAUUUAUUUCCUUCUCUUAUUCAGUGUUCGAGUUUUUCUUUCUUCUAAAAUCACGGUUCCAUGUUUUAGCUUUCUAGGUUUAUUAGCAUAGUUUACUAGUCAUAGGUUAAAGAUAUAGAAGGCUAAUUUUAGAUUUUCUUGGUGGCAUGAGUUGUAGAACCUAUGAAAGCUAGGUGUUAGGUGUAAGGUGUGGUGGGAACUCGUAGAUACAAGAAAGGAGCUUUUAUACCUUUUUAAUUUCGAAAGUAACUUGAGUUAUUCUUUUAGAUAAAACUCUUUCUUCUCUUUCUAAUAACAUGAAAUGUGGUUAUAAAGUCAACCGAGAUGUUUGCUUUAUUUUCUAAACCAAAUAUCUAUCCCUUUGUCAUCUGAGCACAUAUAGCAACCACAAUUUUUUAGCUUUCAUUUGUGCUAACAUGCAUGAGCUAGGGCAGUGAGAUGAGGAAGGGGUUUUUUUUAUUUUUUAAAUAUAGUGGUGUGAUGGAAAGAAGCUUGAUAUGAGAGUAGUGUUUUGUUUUUCAGGGGGAAGACAGUGAACUCUAGGUCAUUUAAAAUUAUUAUGAUCUUUACAUGCAUGAUAUUUUAUGUAACUUAGUAUGAUUAUUGUCUUACCAUAGUCAUUACAAAAAAAUAAAAAUCUCUUUCCAUUCUCUUUUAAUUUUAUAAUGGCCAAGUUUACCAUAUUAAAAAUACAUUAAAGAAAACAAAAAGAUGGCAUUUUUUCACAUGUGUCGGUAAUUUACAAAAAACCAAAUAUUUUGGUAUGAAAUUUUUUUUCCAAAUUUGUUGCAGGUAUUUGUGGACUUAAUAACAAGUUUAUAAAAUUCAUUGGAACAUGACUUAUAUUGAAAGGCCCAUUAUACCGACAUACCCAAAACCUUUUAAAAAAAUCAACUUGGUUUUCCCAAAAUCCAAUUAAAUUUUUUUUUUGCUAUUUACUUUUAAUAUUUAAGGUAGAUGGACUCACAAUUAAAUGUUGCCUUAGGUAUUAAAGGAGUAGCAUAUUCCUCAAAUUUUUUAUAUAAUAAUUUUUUUAGUUUAAUAUUCACUAAUACCGAAGUUAGGAGUAUUAAAGUUUUACUAUGUAAUAUUCACAAUACUAUAAUUGGAGAUAUUAUCUUUCAAAUCAAUGUUCAUAGACGCUAUUGUCAAGAAUAUCAUAUUUUCUAUACAUAAUACUCACCAAAGCCAAAAUUAGGAGUAUUAUUUCUAAUCUAAUAUUCAUUGAUGACAAAGUCAGGGAUAUUAAGCCUUUUCAGUACAAUAUUCACUAAUGUCAGAAUUAAAGAUAUUAUUUUCAGUUAAAUAUUCAUGAAUGCUAAAAUCAAGGGCAUUAAAGUACCAUAAGAAAAAUAAACCUUAAUAAGGCUCUUUCCAUGUACCUUCCUUACGACGACUAUGAUGUUUGAACCACUAAUAAAGGUUUAACCAACCGUAGUAAAUCCAUUAUCACCUUGUAGAUAGAUCUUUGGUAGAACAGGAAUAACAGAUUAUUACCAAUUUAAAAAAAAACUAUCAAUGCAACUUAUCUCAUGUAGGAUGUUUUAGGGUGAUAGUAUCUUCCCUUUAGCAAAACCAGUUUCUUAUCAUAGAUCUUUGCUGAUCAAUUAGGAUUUCUACUGACCAUAAUACUAGGUAAAAACUCAUUUACAAAGAUUAGACCUUUCGCCCUCUUAAAAUAUAAAAAAGAACUCCUUUCCUAAGAUUUAAAGAAAGAGGGCAAGUCACCACAAUGUUUGGUACGACAAAAGUAACUUGAUUCCCACACAAACCCUCUAGCUUUUGUUAAGGGUAAGUUCCUUGGGUCAUUAGGAUUAAAUCAUGUACCAAACUCCAUCAUUCGAGGUCCUUUCUUAUGUAAAAGUUUGUCUAGCUUUCUAUUCAGCUCUUCGAAUUUUAAAUCACUCCAUUUUGAUUGUUGUUUUACAUUGUCUUUAAUCUCACUCAGUUGGCUUUUUAUGUGAACAAAUUAAGCUUUAUGCUGCCUCGAUUGCUUUUCCAGUACAGCUUAGUUACAUCAUGGUUCAAUAUUUUGUAGCACUUGGAUGGUUUUAGGUUUAGAAAGAGAGAUUAGAAAUUCAAUUUUUGUAUUGAAAUUUUCGUACUCAUGCUGGCUGAGAGUUUGGCCUUUUAUAAAGAAUACGAGAUGGCAUGGAUGCGCACUGCCGCGGGUUUAUAAAACAAAUGUACUUGAUAUUGUUAUAAUUGUGAACUAGCACUAGAUAAGUAAUAGAAACUAAAAGUAUGAUGGAGCCAAUAUUUCACGAUGGAAAAAAAAGUUGUGUUGGUGAUCAAAAAGUUAGAGACUGAACAAAAUGAUUUGUAGCAAUCCAUAGUGUUUUGUGAGGAAAGAUACAGUGCUUUUACCACAUUAUUUAGCUUUUCUAUUAAUAAAAAGUUAAAAAAAAAAUUACAAAGCUAAAUUCUCUACCAACUUAAUAUUAAAAAAAAAUAACAAAGAUAAUUUUGGAAGGAAAAAACCCCAUGAGGAAAAACGUUGUAGCAAUUGACAAUGUUUUGUGAGGAAAACUACAGUGUUUUCCUCAAUAAAAUCGACAAAGAUAAUUUUAGAAAAAAUCAUAAAAAAAACCAUUUAGAGAAAUACUGUAGCAAUCCAUGAUGUUUUGUGAGGAAAACAACAAUGCUUUCCCCAUAUGAUUUAGUUUUAUUGUAAUUAUAAUUCUUAACCAACUCAAUAUUAAAAAAAAAAUCGACAAAGAUAAUUUUGGAAAAAAUCUUAAAAAAUCAUGUGGGAAAACACUGCAGUAAUUCACAGUGUUUUAAAGAAAAAAAUUACAAAGCUAAAUUCUCAAUAUUAAAAAAAUAAAAUCGACAGAGAUAAUUUUAGAAAAAAAAUAUAACAAAAAAAAACACACAAAAAAUAGGGAAAAAAACUCAUGUUGGAAACACUGUAUCAAUUCACAGUGUUCUGUGAUGAAAGCUACAGUGCUUCCCCACAUGAUUCAGCCUUAUUUGUAAUGAUUUAUAAUUGUAAUUCUCAACCAGCUCAAUAUUAAAAAAUAAAAUUGACAAAGAUAAUUUUGAAAAAAUCAUAAGAAAAAAAAACCAUGUAGAGAGACACUGUAGCAAUCCACAAUAUUUUGUGAGUAAAGCUACAGUGUUUUCCCCACAUGAUUAAGUUUUAUUACAAAAUUACAUUCUAAUCAGCUCAAUAUUAAAAAAAUAAAAUUGACAAAGAUAAUUUUGGAAAAAAAUAUUACAAAACUAAAUUCUCAAUCAGCUCAAUAUUAAAAAAAAAAUCGGCAAAUAUAAUUUAAAAAAAUAAAAAAAUCAAAUAGAAAAACCAUGUGGGAAAAACAUCGUAGCAAUCCACAAUAUUUUAAAGAAAAAAAUUACAAAACAGAAUUUUUAACCAGUUCAAUAUUAAAAAAGUACAAUUAAAAAAAAUAAUUUAAAAAAAUAAAAAACAUUAUUUUAAUAUAUUUUUAAAUAAAAAAAAUUUAAAUUAUAACCAGUAUGAUAAUUUCAAACAAACCAUAUGAUACCCUUUACACCUCCAAAAGGGAAAAAAAAAAAAAAAGAGUCAUCUGAACCUCAAAAGGCUUCUGUUUUGGUCGCCCCCGACUUGCUGCCUAUACACUGCUACAAGUUUGACGCUUGACGACCGACAUCUGCCUCGUUUUUUUUUUUUUCUUAUCGAGGAGUCCUAGGAAUGUAACAUAAGGAUCUUGUUUUGAAAAGACAAUUACAAUAUGAAAAUUAAAUGAUACCGCAUGGCCAUUACUUAAUGGUAUUAUAAUAGUUUAUUUAGUAAAAAGCGUCUCUCCUUUUUCUUUUAGAUAACCAUGGCUUGGGUUUUCUAGGGUUGAUGACGUGGAUUCACUUGUAUUUUCAUGUUUUGUUGGGUUUGGUCCAUGCCUUUAUUGGUGAACCAUGUCUCGUCCAUGCCUUUAUUGGUGGACCAUGUCUCGUAUAAUAAUUCGAAGUAAAUAUUCUCAAUAAUCCAUAGUUUGAAGGCAUGUAUUAUAAAUUCAAUGUGUUUAACUAAUGAUGCCGUACGUUCCUGUAUUCUUAAUUUCUUUUUUGUUUAAAAGUUCUUUUUAUUAGUAUUUGAAAUAUUUUUUAUUGAGAAAAUAGAUUAUAUAUGAAAUCGUUCUGUGGAGCAGAAUUUCCUCAAGAUACAGUGAACUUGUUUAAUGCUUCAUCCAGGUCUCAUUUCACCGCCCGUUACCUGGACCGAAGCUCAAAGUCAGAAGAGAGGGAUUUUGAUUUAUCAUGUUAUAUGUACAGUCACAAGAAAUCACCUAUAUUUGGCUUGGAUUUGUUUCAAAACCUCCUUACAAUUUUAGAAAUAUAUGAUUCUCCAAUUCAAUCGUGCUGGAUAUUUAUUACUCGUCCAAUGAUCUUGAUCAAAUUUUUCCUUAUCUCUGGUGUGAAUCUACUGAAUGACAAGAAUGGUAUUUUGGAGUAGAAGUCAGGUUUAAAGAAAGCAGAAAGUAACAAGUUAUUUUGCUUCCUUGGUGAUGUGUCUGCAAAAUGGCCAGGCUUUUAUAGAGAGAGAGAGCAGAGGUAGAACAUGAAAUCUCUGAAAUGAAAUGGCUUCAAGUCUUAGAGACGAAUUACCCUUAAAGACAAGGAAACGCAUUAAUAUUCAAUCCUUGGUUGAUUCCACGAUGAUACUGAAUUGAGUAAAACAUUGAAUAUACAAACUGCAGUAGCUGAACAGUAUGUCGCCAGUGUGAAGUGAGCUCGUGACUGUGAGAGGGGAACUUCCUCCCAUGCAAAUAUACCCUUAGUUGUCAAAACAAUUAUAAACAAAUAAACAACUGCUUUCUACCAAAAAAAAAAGAAAAAAAGAUUAUAAACAAGGUAUUAUUAUAAAAAAUUCUCAUUCUUUGAACAAUAAUUUGGAAUUGCAAAAUGCCCUUGACAGAGAAACCCACGCAAGCUGAGAAUAACUUCUCAUUCCCUCACUUAAUCCUAUGAUAACUCUUUAAAGAAACAGAAAAAAGACAUAUCAUGCCCAUGUGCACUUCCUGCCACUUCCAACUUGACUCCUUUGAGACCUCUCUCUGUGCGCACUUCUUAAGACCUCGCUAGUUGCUACCAAAAUAAACCUAUCCAACUCAUAACCUUAAUGCAGACGAACUCCAACAAAUUAACUACAAGCCCUCUUUCACACAAGUAGCACGUCGUUGAGACCUAGGCAUACAAUCACUCUUUCUACUCUACAGCCCCAUUCUCUAUAGGGAACUACUGCAACUAUUAUGACAUGACAUGCGUCAUAUGAAACCAAAACGCACAUGAAAACAGACCUCGAAUCAUUAAAGCGUCUCUUCAUUUCUAUGCCUUCUGAGGAAAAUAUUAGUUGGGUAUGUAUGACUUGAAUUCCUCCUUUAUGAUACCUCUGACCUCUCAGUUUCCUCUGAAAUGUCCUUAAAGUCAAAGGGAGGUUCUAUGGAUUUCCCUAGAUAUUUCUGUAAAAAAAGAAGAAAAACAAAACGCCCACUAGCUAAUCCUUUAUUGUGAUUCUUGAUCUUGCUUGGUUUUCCACUUUGAACACAAACCUAGGGUUAGCUAGGGUUUUGAUGGUGGUUGUUUUUACUAAUUUAAUUAUUUUACUCUAUAAUUAUUUUGGCAUAUGGCUUAUGCUAACGAAAAGAUGCAUAACUAAUUAUGGAUUAUGCACAAACAAAAGAAGAAACAAAAGAAGCGUAGUUAGUGGCUAAAAACCAUGACGUGAUAAUAUUCUCUCUGUGAUCAAGUAAAGGCAUAUUAUAUAAUCAUUUGCAAUAUUAUAUAAAUGCAUGAUUUGCAAUACUUAAAUGCAUAUUAUAUAAUCAUUUGCAAUACUUAAAUGGAUGAUUUGCAAUUCUUAAAUGCAGUGAUUCCCAUAGUAGGUAGAAACUUUUGGAGGGAUUAUAAACACGACAGAGAGAGAGAGAGAGAGAGAGAAAGUGAUAGAAGAGAACACAAACAAAUGGACUUAUGCGAGAGAUGAUAUAUUGAAACUAUAACAAAUCUGAUGAUGAAGACAAUAGUACAAGAAAAAAGGGAAUCGAUGUUGUGAUGUAUCUGACUUAUGUGUCCUUGGAAACCAAUCUCUGUGUGUCUUAUGCGUUCAGUUUAAUUCUCUGAUAGAAUGUCAGUGAGGUGCUGAAUGGGGAUAUGUGCUCACGUUAUUCCAUGCAGUUUUAGCCAUGACCUUUAAACCUGAUUAAUCUCACCACCAAAGCUCCAAAACUGCCAUUAUUGAUCUCUCCGUCCCUCCUGUCUUUCUCUCUCAGAAAAACAAACACUAUUGCAAUUAAUUCCAUCUUAAUUUGAAGCACAUCCCAGUUGUAGAUCAAUGCUAAAACUUCUCCAGCUAGUCCUAAACUUACGAGUUCUUAAACGAAUUUUCUUCUGUGAAGUAUGCCGAGAAAAUUAACUGUGUUUCGUUGAGCAUAUGAGUUAAGAAUAUUUGAAAAUAAAUGCAAGAGAAGAUGUCAAUAUACUUAUUAGUAAAUCUGGUAAUAAGAGUGCAAACAAUGAAAUGAAUUGGACAGGCAUAGAAAUUAUCGUGAUCCAUUCAUAAUUACCUUCCCGUGGUUAAUAACUAUGGUCGAUGCAAUCAAAAAAAUUCGCUAUUAUAAACAAGAUAUCGCGGAAGAUAGAUGAGCUCUUCAUGUUUUUCUGUCAUGCUUUUCUUAAUAUUGUUAUUGUUACAUGCACCUUGCGAAAUCAUAAACGAUUGAGAGAUAGCCGAAGUGAUCAAGGAUCUAACAAAGAAAAGAGGCCAUGAUCUCAUGAUCUAAGAAAGGAAAAGAACAAAAAACGGCAAAGAGGAAAUCAAGCAACAUAAUAAAGAAGGUGCCAGACGGCCAGUAAUAUGUUCGAUAGCACUCGAGAUUCUGGAACUACUUUACCUUAGGCCGGUCACCAAGCCUGAGCUCAAGAUCCAAUUCAUCUACAGUGCAAGGGCUAAUUUCAAACACCUCAGACUGGACAUGAUGUUUAUCAACUGAAUUACACUUUAGAAAGAAAGGUAAUGAUGAUUUAUCAAUCCUCCGUUUCUUGCAGCUCAUAGGCUCCUCCCCACAGUCUGAUAUGCUCGGGCGAGUUCGUCGAACGACUAAAUUCAAGCUGACAGACAAAUCUGUUUGGACAUAAUCUACUUUGGCUCUACAUCCUGAUUCUAUUUUCCUUGAAUUCUGCUCUCCUUCAGUGCUUAGAGAAGAUAUAUGACAUCUUUCUUUAGUUAACUUAGUCUGUGGCGGGGGGGAAGAUUUAUGGGAUCUCUUUUGUUGUUCUUCAACAAUAAAAGAAGUGAAAGGAGGGGAAAUGGUUUUAUCACAGAAAUUCUCUUGAGUAGAUGUAAUUGAAACCCUAGAAGAUGAAGUUCGGGAUGGAAUAAAACCAGGAUUAGAAUUAGGGUUAGGGCAAUAAUCCAAGGUACAAAGCUGAGAUGGGUAUUGAAAACCGAAAGAUGUAUAGGGAUUUUGAAGGUGAUUGAGAGGUUUUUGAUGCUCAUGAUGAAGAAUUUCAUUGUGAGGACUUGGAGAUUGCUUGAGUCUAGCUCUAUCCCUCCUGUGGACAUUCAUAUGACCUCCUAGAGCUUGAGCAGACCUAAAUUCUCUUCUACAAAAGCUACAAGAAUAAGAUCUUGGAGGCCAUAUACAUCCUCCGAGAGGACCAGCUGCAUCUUCAGCGAAAGCUUGUUCUUCCCAAGAAUCAUCCAACGAAGGAUUGGUUGAAGCCUGAAAAUGAGAAUCCAAACUAUGCUUCCGUUUAGUCAACAUCCAAUAACGAGCUUGCUCCAUAUGUUGGACUAUAUCCAGAGAUUCACCCUUCCAAGCUUGAAGAAUAUACAGGAUUAAUAAUAGGAAAAGUAUUAAAACUUAAAGGUGAUAGAAAAUGGGAGGAGAUGGGAUGCAAGAAAGACAGAUAAAGGGCUUAACUGAUUGCUAAGAGUAGUAGUCGGGAAGAUAAAUUGGUGGGUACUCUACCAUGGUUGUCUUAGUGCAGCUACUUUUUUGGUUUUUGUGUUUGGUUCUCAGCACUAUCUACUGUGUAAGGGGAACGCUGGUUUAGUAUUCACGGGAGUGGGUCCAAGGAGCCUUGCUUGCUUGUGCUGUUUAUCUGUGCUUAUAGACAAACUGUAAUCAUGUCUGACUGAAACAUCCUUGGAAAUACCCAGCAAAAGUCGAAAAGAUGCUGUAAAUGCGCGCACAUACUUGUGCUACACUAUACUGUAUGGAUACUUUUGUUUUGGACUAGAAAUUACUACUAUGAUAUAUACUAAGCAUUGUUUUCCGAUCUGUGGACUGCCCUCUUCGAAGAAUGCCCAAAGGUGCAGUGGUUAUACUGUAGCAUUUUUACUAUAGCUAUAAACUUAUUAGCAUCACAAUUGAUAUAAUAAAAUUAUGAUUUUGUCUUCGUCAACAAAAACAAUUGGCCUUCGCAACUCUGUAUAGUGAUUUGUUUUUGUUUUUUUAUAGUAAAAUAACUAAUAUACUUUUUAAUACUUUAAAACACGUGCGAUUUUCUUCUUUUUUUUGUCAUUAUGUAAAAGUUUUUUUUUAGUCCUCAAACUUUGUUUUUGAAUGAUUUAGUCCAAUUUUAGGAGCAAUUAAUUUCAAAUUUUUAUGAAAGGGUGGGAUUGAAAGAAGGGGGGCUGAAAUGAAAAAUGCGGCAAAUAUGGGUGGAGUGCUAUAAGUUUUGAAAAAAUGCACUUUGGUCCUUCAUCUUAAACAAUCACGCAAAUUAUACAAUUUUUGUUCCUCGAAAUUGUUCCAAUUUCAUUUUGCUACAGAUGUUUAUUUUCAUUAUAUAAUUUUUUAUCCUUGGUUGAGAGAAGAGAAAGAGAUGGGUCGUCGGAUUCCCGCAGUAGAAAGAAAAACUUGUUGUUGGCACCGAAUUAAGCCACCAAAAUGAAUGAUUUUUGUGUCAAAUUAUUCUAUUUUAAUUAGGGGAGUUCAUAUAUAUCAGUUGUUUUUGUACCUUGAAAGUUCAUGAAAAAAAAAAUCUGAGCUUGGAUUGACUAAAUGAUCUUGGGUUUUGCUUUUUUAUUCGUAUAGUAGCCCUUUCAAUUUCGGGUGGUGCUUUGACUAAAUGAUCUCGGGUUUUACGUCAAUAAUCUCUUUUUUCUUCCUUCUUUCCUCUCUCCUGCUUAAUUUUAGCAUUGGCCUCUACACAUUUUCAAAGCAUCUCUUUGAUUUUUUUUUUCUUUUAGAUUUGGUCCCUAUUUUUUUCUUGCUAUUUUUUUUUAAAUAAUUAAUGAAAUUAAAAUUUUCUUUCAAUUGUAUCCUCUAAUUUUUUUAACUUGUUAGAUUUGGUCCUCAUUCUUUUGAUUGUGAUUUUUUUGUUUUUAUUCAUUCUUUUGAUUGAAUUAUUUUUUCAAAUGUGUCCCUUAAUGUCUUAUUUCAUUUUAUUUUUGUGUCAGAUUUUGUUCUUAUUCUUUUAAUUACAAUUUGUUUUUUUAUUGAAACUUUCUUUCUCAAUUCCAUCCCUCGACAUUUUAUUAAUUGGGAUUUUAAUUUCAUGAAUUUUUGAGUUCACCUUCUAUAGGAUAAUUCUAGCCUUAAUUAGGACUCGGGUCAUAGAUUUGAAAAGUUAGUCUGCGUUGGAUUAAGUCAUUUUUUUACAAUUGAUUUUUUUAUUCCAUCAUUUUAUAGGUUAUUUUGAUCCCAAUCUCAUAUGUCAGGUCAUAAAUUUCAUUGGUUUACCAAAGUUAAAUCGGGUUAGUUUUUUAAUCAUAAUUAACCGAGGUUAUUGAAUCCAAUAAAGUCAAUAACCCGACUCUUAGCUUUCUCUUGCUUCUUUAAAAAUGCUUCUAUCACCUAAGCAUUUUUUUUACAAUGAAAAAAAGUUUUGUCCAGUUAGCAAUAUAGAACGGGCCACCAAUCUAGUUAUUAACACUAAUAGGCAUUGAGAUAUAAUACAAUUUGUCUUACCAAUUUUUUGAAAUAAGAACUUAUUAAAUAGCUGAAAAUAAAUCCUUGUAUUAUUCAAAUUAUUCAUAUAAUUUUACCCCUACCACUAAUUGUAUUUAUAGAAAUAGCCUAACUUCUCUAAUCAUUGCAAAAGAUUAUUUUGCUCCUUGAAAAAUAUCACCUAUUUAAUUUCAGGAUAGUUAAUUGAAAUUUAUAUAAUCAAGUCCCUACUUGAGUUCUCUAGGCCCAAAAUUAUAAUUUUCUGUAUAAAUUACAUUCUAGUUCCUAAAUUUCUAAAACUUAUUUUAUAAUCAAGUCAUACUUGAUUUAGUUUAAUUUUCAUGAAGGAUUUUUAAUAUGCGUAAACUAUUUUGUUUCUAAUAUAUUUACCCAAAUAUAAAUCAUAAUCAUAAAAUUAAAAUAGGCUUAGAUAAAUUAAACAAUUUAUUUUAUCAAUAAUUUAAUAAUUGAUUAAUUUAUAUUUGAAGAUUAAGUGUAGCAUUUAGUAAUAUGUCAUAACCUCCUAAAUAUAAAUAUCAUGUAAGUCAUUUGUGAUUUGAUUAGCCUUUCAGCAAAUAAUUUUUUAGUGUAACGAAUACUCUUUCAUUAAUAAUAUUCUACUUUAAAUAUUUAAGUAUGAAGUGUAUUUGCCCUAUAAAAUUAUAUUAGUUCUCAAUAUAAUAGUCAUUAAUUAUUUGAUUAAGAUUUGAAACACCUUGAAAUCUUAUUCUACCUUGAACAAGAAUUUGAUAAUUAAUACAAUUUGAGAAUAAAAUAAAAAUGUUUUAUAGUUUAUUUAAUGUAAUGAAUUAUUUAUUGAUCACUCAAAUACAUUUAUAUAAUUUCUACACUAUCCAAUAUUUGGUUAUUGUUGCACUUGAUUAAAGCAACGUGUAGUCAUGAUCAAAACAUAGCAGUUUUUAAUUUAGUUAUCUCAAGUCCAAUGAUCAUUUACACAACUUUACAAUCUUUUCAUAAACUCAGAUAAUUCUCCAUGUAGAAUUAUUGUAUGGUCAACUUAGUGAACUUAGAUAUUAAUUUCAUGUAUUAUUUAUACAUCAGCCUAUGUGAAUAACUACUUCAUUUAAAAAAAGAAAGAGCAUAACAUAUAUCAAUCUUAAAAGAGCAAUGACCAUAAACGUUUAUAGAUAAUGAUAUGAUAAAAUAAAAAUCCUCAUAAUUAUAAAAUAUUUAUGAUUUUCUUACAAAAUAUUUUUAUCCCAAAAACUUUAUCUUUAUUUUAUAAUCAUUAAUCAAACACAAAUGAAUAUUAAAAACAAUUAUAUUUUUAUUAAUAAAUUAUAUAUAUAUAUAUAUAUUAACCUCCAAAUUUAUAAACUGCGGCUUGUAUUUUUAAAUUUUUCUUUUUAAAUCAUGGGUUCUGUUUUUUAUAGAACAACUUUUAUUUCAGCUUCCUCUACCUCUGAAUCUUCUGAAAGUAAAUGAGUUCUCAAUAGUGAAGAAAUUACAAUUGAAGACUUUACAAAAAAAUAUUGAUGAUUGGAAAAUUCUAAAAGUUUCAAAACACAAAUUUAUCAAAAUUUCAAAUUUGAUCUUUUCAAAACUGAUUUUACAAUAAAAAAAUGAAAGAAAAAAAUAUUCAGCUCAUAAAACCCUCUGAAACAAUCCAACUUUUUUAUCCUAAAUCCCUACAAAAACAUCAAGAUCGAAACUACAAAUAUAUUCAUGUCAGCCUAGUACAGGUUGGGAUCAAACCUCUUACCAAAGAAGGUCUCAAUACCUCCAAAUUUAUACUUUUGGUUGCAUGAAUAAUGGUAGUGUCAUGUACAAACAAUUGAUUGAUUGUAGGGCAUAUGCGCUAACAAUCAUUCACUUGUACUAAAAUCAAUCUCUAAAUAUCUAAUACUACAUUGCUCUAUAAGAAGAUCAUUCUUCUACCAGAAUAAUGUUUUGAUGAGAGGAUUUGCAAGAUUCUCUUUAGCAGAUACUCGCUUUAUCUUUAUAUUUUUUUUGUUGGACUUGGUUUUCAAUGAUGUAUGAGAUCAUUUCUAUUUGUUUUUUUGAUGAUCAUAAGUAAAUAGUUCUUUCCAUGGAUCAUUAUUCUAAAUUUGUUUGGUUUAGCAAUUGAAAAAAUAUAUAUAUCAAAGUGAUUCGGGCAAUUAAUUUUAUUGGUUCAAUUCUUAUUUUAAGAAAAACAAUAUUCAUAGGAUAGUGUGCUCUUAUAUUCAUGAAAAAAAAUGAUAUAAUUGAAAGAUAUAGCUUUGAUAAAUUGUUGAAAUAGAUGUUAACAUUAAUAGGUCAAGUGACUCUUCUAUAAUUUUAUUGGCAUUUAUAAUUUCACAUUGUUGUUUACUUAAUUAAAUGCAUGUCUACAUCUAUUCUAACAAUUGAAUAUCUUACUGAAAUAAUGUUUAAAAAUAAACCUAACUAUAUUUUUUUUCAAAAUUUUAGGUGUCAUUUAAUUCCAUUGUUAUGUUUAUAUAAUCCACUAUAAUCAUAUGUCAAAGUCCAAAAUCAAGUCCUAAACACAAUUGCUAAUCUAAAACUCAGCUCUUGUCAUAGACAUAACUAGAAUUUAUAAAAUGCAUAGUAUAAAUUUGCCUAUAUUUUCUAAGAGAUAACCAAGGAUCAGUCUUAAUAUAGAUUCUAGCAAUAUCCAAAACUAACAUUCGUAAACACUUAUGAUCACCAACAAUCUCAAUGUGGCUAAAAACACAUCCUAUAAAACUAAGUGAUAGACAUUGUCAUAACUAACUCGAUCUUUACUCCCUUUCAAAAACAAAUAUUUACAUCAAAAUAUUUUGCAAACAAGAUUUGACGGAUUUUUUUUUCUAAAAAGGACAAAUGUUGAAAAAUGAUCAAAAUACAAAAAAUAAAAUACAAUUUGGGAUCAAUAAUAAUUCUAAGAGGCAAUCAAGGGCGUGAUUCAAGAAAAACUAAAGAAAAAAUUUUAAAUUUAUAGAAAUUUAAAGAAUUAAAUAACCAAGGACCAAAACUAAAAAAAGAGAAAACUUUACGGGUCUUAUUUAUUCAAUCAAAGGUUUAAUUAAAUAGAAAAAUCAAAAUUUAGAGUCAAUUUGACUGAAUAUACACAAAUUAGAGAAUCAAGGGCUAUACUACAAAAGAUGCCAAAAUUAAAAGGCCAUUUUUAAUGCAAUCAGGGGUUAAGGUAUGAAGAAAGUGUGAGAAAAUUGGUGAAAUUAGCUAAAAAUUAAAAAAUCAAUGACUGAUUUGGAAAAGGUGCCAAAGUUGAAUGAGUAUUUUCAAUGUAAUCAGUGAUAAAAUUGAGAAGAAAUUAAAAGAAAAGGGUUAGAAUUGGUUUAAAUUUAAAAAAUAAAAAGCUGAGGACUAAAUUGUAAAAGGUAUCAAUAUUGAGGUACCAUUUUGAAUACAAUUAGGGGGUGGAAUUGAAAGAAAUGAUAAAAAAAGGGUUGAACAAAAAUUAAACUGAGGUUACCCCUUAUAGGAGUCUCGAACAAGUAAUGAAAUAUACUAGAAAAGCAUUAUAAUAAAGAAUAAAAAAAAAUACCUAUUUUUCUAAAUAAUUUCCUGCAUGAAAUUUGUUAGCAGUAUUAAUUAGUGCUCAUCAUUCCGUUUAUGGGAUACGUUCUGAUUCUUUAAAAAUUAUACUGUCAGUCAAUGGGCCAGAAAUUGCAGAAGUAAUAAAGUAGAUUUUAAAGCUCAUUUGUUAGCUUAGAGAUUUCACGCUAAUGAAAUGUAACAAAUUGGGUCAAAACUCACCUUCAUGAAAAUGGCAUCUCCUCCUUUUGGAAUGCUUACAAAGCAUGUCCCCUGCAACAUGCUCACUACCUGCAUUGAAAUUUUAUUUUAGAAGGUUCAUAUGCAUGAAGAACUGCAGUACUGCUAGAUCUGCUAAAUGGUGCCGAUCUGCAGACCUGUGCCAUGCUUUCAACUCCCUUGUACAGAGCAGAUAUUAACAAGAAAACAAGAAAAAGAAAAUGCCUUUUCCCCUUUGUAAGUGAUCAGUUAAAAAAUCUGAACAAAUGUAAAAAUCAAUAUCUGGAUAGGAUGGUGAGAUUUACAACUGAGCCAAAUCAUAGUCGAUACCCUUAACGGCAGGAUAAUUAGAAAUGAUCAUGUUAAGCACAGAACCAUCGUCACUACCCACAUCCACCAAGGUUUUUACACCUUCGAAGCCACCAUGCAUCCAGAAUUCUCUCCAUAAAUAUGGGGUUGAAAUCUCUCGUGCAGAUACUGUCUAGAGAACAAGUGAGAAUGAAAUGGCUAGAAAGAAGGCAAAGGAUACGGUCAAUCAUAAAAGGAGCAUCAUUGUUCUGAGUGGGAAGUUGGGAGGCAGUUGUUCUGAGUGGGAAGUAUUUAAUUUGUUGGUAUAUUUUGUUAACUACAUUAUCCAAUUUAUAAUCCAUCUAAAAUGUUUGUCUUGCUUACAGGACUACCUUAAUGAUCUUAGUUUGCAAUCAGUUCUUGUGACAAGUCCGGUGGAUGGUGCUGUGAUCUGUCAUACUUCGAAAAAGUGUUUCGGCCAGGGCACUUGCUGAUCAGGUAUAGAAUCAUCUACAGAAAAAACUUGUAGUGGUUUAGGCCUCCAUUUCUGCACCAGAACUUGCUGUGCAGCCAAGUCCAGUUUCCGGAGCUAAACAAAUAAAUUAUGGUUGACUCUUGCUAAUCUGCUGAUAAAUUCAACAUUCAUUGAUUUUCCAAUACAUUCAACAUUUAUCAACUACUGCCUCAACAAAAUCCAAGAGCUACACUCACUAGAGAUUUGAGUUCUAUGAGAAUUGAUCAUCAGCUUCUGAAAUGCAACCACAUGGGCAAUUGGGUAAGCUGAUGUAACUACAACAGUAAUUAUUCACUAAUUUUUUUAUGAACUCCACUACUGAAAAAUUACAAACAAAACAAGCAACUCGAAUAUGAGAAAAUCCAGCUUCCUUUCCCAAGGUUUCAAAUUCUUUUUCUGUCCUUUCUUUUCCUUGUGGACUCAUGCUUGACAUGAACAAAUAAUUCUGUAGCAUGCUUUUAGCUUUAACAUUGGUUUCAGGGGUUUCUGGAACUACCAUAUCCACUACUAUAACUUUUCCGUUGUCUGGUAAAGCUUCAUAACAAUUCUUUAGCAGUUUUAGCAAGUGCUCAUCGUCCCAGUUGUGAGUUAUCCACUGUUUCAUUCAAAAAUAUCAUUUCAGUUCCCUAACAGAGGUAUGUAGCUAACAAAUUGUUAAAACUUAACAAAUUGUUAAAACUUCACUAGUAUUAAAUCUUAUUACCUUCAUGAAAAUGGCAUCUCCUCCUUUCGGAAUUGUUACGAAUCCGUCCCCCGCGACAUGCUCAAUUCCUACAGAACAAAUCUUGUUCAGACUGCUCAAUUUUGUACACUUUAGGUAAAUGAUCAAACAACUGUAUCUAUGCAGUUUUCCUACUAGUCGCGUUUCAACUUCAAGAAUAGGAAAGCAUCCUUUCGAUUUGUAAGUAAUAAGUUAAAAUAAAAGAUCAAAACAAAAGAUCAAUACGUACCUGGGUAGGAUGGUGAGCUUUCCACAACUGAAGCCAAAUCAUAGUUGAUACCCUUAAUUGCAGGGUACUUGGUAAUGAUCAUGUUAAGGAUAGAACCAUUGCCACCACCCACAUCCACCAAGCAUUUUACACCUUCAAAUCCAUCAUAUAUGUCCAGAAUUGUCUCCAUAAAUGUAACGUUGAAACUUUUCAUGGAACUGCUGAAUAGCUCACAAAAUCUUGCAUCUUUUUUUAGAUAUUCUGCAGAAUUUAUCCCGUGAGCCUUUUCAAAUGGAAUCCCUCCUUCCAGAACUGCGUCUUUUAAGUGGUACCUGUUGUUAUUUCAUAGUGAAAGAAGAAGAAAAAUCACAAACUAACUAUAGCAACAAACAAUUCGGCAACAGAAAUAGAAUAUAUGAAAAAAGCAAUACUUGUGAAGUCUCUUACCACAUAUCCAUCAUGACAUUGUCAUGAAUCAUAGCUAAAAAGGGACUCAACGAUCCUCCAUCCUGGUUCUUGGUAAAGUAUUUGGCCACAGGUGCUAAUCCAUAUAACCUCUGGGAAUGACCAUCCUGAAUAUUCUUGGUGGACACUGAGCAGUAAGAAUAGAAUGGCUUGCGAGCAGGCAGAGGUUACGGUCUAGCAGAAUAUGGGCUUCCGGGUUGUUUUGUGUGGGAAAUUGAGCGACAAUAUCUGAAGCUGAGAGCAAGGCAUCAGGACCAGCCUUUUCUAUUAUCUCAAACACACCUAGCUCUAUUGCUGCUUUCAAAACCAGAGGCAGCACUGAUGCUCUUGAAAGUUGCAUAGCAUACUGGAGAUGAUAGUCUUCCUCAUAGGUUGAGGUUGCCAUUUGUUAGGUGUUAUUGACCCAUCAAUAUUGCUAGUAAAACUUUCCACGGUGAAUUGUAUCUCCAUCUACAGUAAAAAAAACCACCUUCCACGGUGAAUUGUAUCUCCAUCUACAGUAAAAAAAACCACUGGCUUUUAGUUUAUUUGUUAAUAAUAUAGCUAGAGAACAACAUCAAUAGAGGUGGCUAGAAAACGCUGAUGAGUUGCCAUAUAACUUCUUUUCAACUAAUAAUAUCUCAAUAUAUAAGUCGUCGCUCAUGUUCAAAAUUCUUUGAGAGACCCCUUCAUGGAAGUGAAUCCAAAAGAUUAGACAAAGGAGAUAAGACGUAUAACUUCUCCUAUUUAAAAAUAUGACCAAGAGGACUCUCUCCUUCUCUAAUUUGCAUUAAAGAAAUCAAAGAGAUUGUCUUCAUUACAUACUUUCGAGUUAAAAAAAGAAAAAUAAACAAAGGUUCUGCUGAAAAUGAAACCCUUGAAAACGAAUGUUAAGGAAUAAUUCAAAUGUAGGGACUUAAUUAUAUAUAUAUAUAUAUAUACAACGGAUGUUGUGUCUGACAUGACACUUGGUGACCAGGAAAUACUAGAAAUGAACCACACGCAAAGAAAAGGUUCCAUUUGAAUUAUUGCUAAUUUAUUACUUAUUUAUCACUUUUUUCUUUAAGAAUAAAUUUAAUAUUUAAAUCUAUAUAGUUUCUCUGCCGAAAUAAUUAAUUAAAAUUAAAAAAUAUAAUAAAAUAUCUAGCUUUUCAUUUUAGCAAUCAAUUAGAAAAUUGUGGGGACAAAUUGAAAUUUAAAUGAAAUGGUGGGGUUAAUGUGUGAAUAGUAAAAAAAAAUUGAUUAUAAAAACUCACCCUCUCACUCCUUAAGAAGAAAAAAAAAGGAGAGAAAAACCUCAAUUGUUAAGAGAAUUCUUUGGAAAAAAACCAUUAGAAAGCCAAAGAAUUGAAGAGAGAUUGUGAAACACUUAAUUAGGAGGGAGAAAUGAUGGAAAGGAAGGGAAAUAAAGAGGGGUUGUCAAGAUAGAAGAUGGAAAAGGAGGGACUUGAGAAAUUUUGACAUGUUAAGAUUCAAAGACUAGAUUAAUGUUCAGUAAGGUGUUCAAAAUCUAAUUUAGCAAUUUCAUGCGAAACAAAUAAUAAUUGAGGUAAAAUUCAUGAAAUUAAUGUUAGGAUUUAUGAUAGAAUUUUAGGGAAAAUGUAAAUUGAUGAUAAGUUGAAUCAAUUGGGUUAGAAUAACUUCCAACGGGUGUUAAAUUAUAAGGAAUUAAUGAAGAAAACAUAGUAUCCCUAAAGACAUUUAUGGCCGGUUAAGAGGGUGCCAAUUAAUGUAUAAUGAAAAUGUGUUUAUUUAAGUGAAUUGUGAUUUAUCAAUCCAUAAUUUUCCGUGAGAGAUGAUUUUAGAUGAGUUUAAUUAUAUUAUAUAACAUAAUUGAAUUGAUUAUGUCAUUAUGAAUUGAAAACCUUGAGGAUGGUCAUAGAACUUACAAUUAAGAAUUGUUGUGAUUGGUUGAUUUUGCAUAUAAGAGAGAAAUUAAUGGAAAAUAUACAUUUGAUCUCAUUAUGCUAUUGUUAGUGUGAAAUGUGAUAAAUGUUUGUGAUGAGUUUGAAGUGUAUAUGAUUAUGCUAAUAUUUGUGGAAUAUAAAAUAGUUGUGAAUAUAAAAUGGGAUGUUACAACUUAUAGCUAAAAUCUUAUAGCAUGGGUUUCUAUACUAUUAAUUUAUUAUUAGCUAAAGUGGCAAACUUGUAAUUUUGAGAGAAGUGUGCUUAAUACUCUUCUUGUUCUUAUAACAACUUUUUUUCUCUAUAAACCUUCUCUUAGCUAUUUAUAACAAUGUUGAAAAACACUUGGAAGAGCGAAGUUUCUUAUUCCUUUUUAUUACAUGUGAGUACCAGAUGGUUUUGGUAUUUUCCUAUAUAUACACACUUGAUUUCUAUGUAAGGUUUCUCACAUACUCCUUCUAUUUUAUAAUCUUACAUACUUGACACUUUGAAUUUUUUUUAUUCUAAAAAGCUCGCAUUCAUCUUUGUAUUCACUUGAAAAGCUUUGUAUCCUAUAUGGCAUCAAAUCAAUUCUCACAUUUGUGAGUUAGAUUACAUUCUAUAAAGACAUGAGUUUAUCUAUUGUAAUCUUCUCAUCUUAUACGGAGUGAUCUUUCUCUUAUGAGAGAUAAACAUAUUAUGAAAGUGUAAGUGACACUUAAACUAGUUGGGUUUAUCCUUUGGUAGUGAGCCCCAUAGAGGUUUUCAAUAUUGAUCAUUGUUAUCCAAUAAAAAAGAUUAGGUAAUAGAUUUGAUCCUAAGCUUGUAAGAAGAUCGAGUUUGAUCUUGAGCCUAUAAAAGGAUUAAGUUUGAUUUUGAUCCUGGAAAAUGAUUGUGUAAAUGUUUGGUCUCACUUGUGAAGAAGAUAAUAUGUGAUAGUGAAUACUUAAAUGAAGGUUCAAGAAGUGGAGUAGACAAUUAUCUGAACCACUAUAAAAAUUGAUGUGUCUCUUUCUAUUCUUAUCUCUUUAAAUUUAUGCUCCUUAAUAUCGCUUGGGUGUUUUGGCUAUCUUAGUUUAAUUGGAGAUUAAUACUUUAAAGUUCUAUAAAAUUAGAUAAAGCCUUAAUUCACCCCCUCCUAAGCUUUUUAAGUGUUUCAACUGUUAUCAGGGCAUAGACUCUUUGUUUAAGGUUUGAUCACCUACGAGAAAAGAUCAUGGCAUAAGAAGGUCAAUAAUUAACUAGAGCACUAUUCUUUGAAUGAAGGGAUUAUACCUAUUGGAAAGUUAGAAUACAAACUUUUCUUGAGGUUGUUGAUAUUAAAGUGGGAGAUAUUAUUUAGAGUGGAUAUACUCAACACACAAUAAUAAAUUUGGAUGGAGAAUUGGUUUCUAAACCCAUAAAUGAAUGGGAUGACAAACAAAAACGGCAUGUAUAAUUAUGCUAUUAAGGAAAUUAAUGCAUUCUUUUGUGCUCUUAAUCAUAUAAAGUUUACUAUAGUGAAGAAAUGUAAAACAACUUUUGAAAUCUAGAAACUUUUAAAAGUUACUCAUGAUGGUACAAGUCAAGUUAAAGAGUUUAGAUUGAUAAGUUUAACUAGAAAGUAUGAACUCUUUAAAAUAAAGCCUAAUAAGGGCAUUUAGGAAACACACACUAGAUUCAUUAUAUUUGUUAAUGAAAAAGAAUAUAAGACAUGUGAUAUUCGAAGAUGAUACCAAGAAAAAGAUAAAAGGUAUUGUAAUAUUGAAACAUCUCCCUACUAUUUAGCAUGUUUUACUUAUUGAUUGUUUAAAGUAUAACUUUCUAAACAUAAGUGAAUUAUGUGAUAGGGGUAAUAAAGUUAUUUGUUAAUCAUUACAUUACUUGAUUAUUUUUCUAUUAUCAAAUCAUAAAGAAUAUAUAAUCAUAGAACUCUAGUAGUUGAAGAAUCUAGAAAUGUUGUAUUUGAUAAGUCUAUCCACUACUAGAAAAUUGGCAAAUACAAAUGGAAAUACUGACGAAAUAGUUUCUUGCUAUUUCCCUUGGAAUAUAUCGACAUAAAAUUUAUGUUGGUGUAUACCGAUGCAAUUAUAAUGGGAAAAGAAGGAAUAAAAAAAUUGAUGUGUCAUGCUUAUAGACGGUAUUACUAACAAAAUAAGUCUCCAUUAAUAUUCAUCGGUAAUUUCAUUGGUAAUAUUUAAAUUAUGACAUGGCAAACGACCCUCUCCCCCUCUUUCUUAUUUCUUCUUCUUCCUCCAUUUUCUUUGCAAAUAACAGCAGAACCCGCCCCCUGUUUUAUCGUAAAUCAAACUCUCAUAACCACAAAUUAAGUCACCCUAACACUUAGUCUGUCAACAUCCAUGUUCUGGUUUAUUUAUUUACUUCAAGUAAGAAAAACUACCCAUUUUUUGUUUUAACUCAUUUUUAAAAAGUUAAUUUUUUUUUUCAUUUUGUUGUAGUAUAUGUAGUUUGUUUGUGUGUUUACUUGUUUUAUAACUUUUUCCUAUAAAAAAUUGUUGUAUGAACAUAUAAAUACAUGUUAGGGUUUGUAUGAGAUUUUAAAAGAUUGUGUUUGUUUGUAAUUAUACGAAAUUGAUUUUGAUUUUUUGACUUAGGUGUUUGUAAUGAAAUAAAUAGUGGCUUAUUUAAUGAGUAUGAUUCAUGUUAUAUCAAUUUCAUUGUUAAGUUGAAAAUUUCAGUGAAUAUGGAGGAAUUUGAAUUUUUGUAGAAAAUUAAUAAUGAUGUAAGGGUACUAUUAAAAUCGAUUGAAUAAGUUUGAGUUAAACCAUUGUUAGCUGAUUUAUUUAGUUCACAUAAUUAAUUAAUAAAUAUUGUCAUCAAUAUUCUAUAUAGGUUUGAUAUAAGUAAUGGAUGAUCGUUCUUGGACAUAUCAAGUUUCACCUGAAGGGUUGUGCAUGAUAGAUUAUUGUAAUGAGAUUGAUGAAUAUUAGUGAAUGUGGUAUUAUAUGUUCAUAUAAGAUGUGUAAAAAUAAAAAAAAUUUCUCGAUCUAGAUGUUAUAACGAUGCAUCUUCUAUAUAUAUAUAUAUAUAAAAGAUUAAUGGAGUAAUACUUAUGUUAAUUUGUACACAGAGAACCACAUGUUCUUCCUUACGAUACCAAGGUAGAAAAGAUGGUUUGAUCAACUUCUAGUUCUAACAACGUGCAUGGUGUAAUAAAUGACAAUAGUAAUCCUUAUAGGAAUAUGGUAAUAGAUGUGAUGAGAAUGAGUCAGGGUUAUGUAGGUAAAUGUUCAAUCAUAGAUGAAGAACCAAAUAUAGACAUGACCAAGUUUUUUUUUAUCUUUUGAAAUUCUCUGACGAACCAUUAUAGGAUGGGUACACAAAUCACAAUCAAUUAUUGGUAGUUGCACAAGUGUUCACCAUUAAGUCAGAGCAUGGACUGAAUAAGGCCGGUUAAGAUAGAAUUAUGAUAACAAAGGGAAUAGGUUGAAAGAGAACUUUCAUACUUUUAAAUUCAUGAUGAAACAUCUUAGCCUAGGAUACCAAAAAAAUUAACAUGUGUUGAAACUUCUACAUGUUGUACUACCUUGAAAAUACAGAUUUGACCGAAUGUAGAACCAGUGGGCAUGCUCGUUAUAAACCCAAAACUUGCAAAGAAAAGACUCUUGUUGCACAUAGAAAACUUAGAUACUUCACAAUCACUCUUCGACCACAAAGGUUAUUCUUGUCUCCAAAAACUAUUGAACACAUGACAUGAAAUCAUUCACAUGAUGCGGUGAAUGAAAUCAUAGUGUACCCUUCUGAUGGUGAAGCAUGAAAACAUUUAAAUAGGGUGUAUCCUCAAUUUUUAAUAGAAUCGUUGAACACACAUCUUGGGUUAUGUACAGAUAAAUUCAAUCUAUUUGAUUCAUUUGUUGCAAAUUAUUUUUGGUAUGUGAUACUCAUAGUUUAUAAUUUGCUACUAAGGAGUUUGUACAACUUGCCACUGAAGAGUUCAUGUUUUUAUUUACGGUCAUACCUAGUCCUAAAAGUCCAAGUCAGAACAUAGAUGUUUGUCUUUGACUAUUGAUUGAUGAGUUAAAGCUUUUGUGAUCAUCUAGGACUUUGAUGUGGACUAUCAAUGAUUUUUUUUUAAUGGAAUGGUUUCUAGUUGGAGUAUGGAUGGAAAAUUAACAUGUUCAUACUAUAUAAAAAAUAACAAGGCCUUCACUGUCACAACCCAAAAAAAAACAACAUAUUUAUUUAUAAGAGUUAAUUUUUAUUCGGAGCAAUUUUUUAUGUUUUACUAAAAAUUCAGCAUAAUUUCCCCUGUAACGGGACCAUAUCAAGUUAUCGACAUCUUCAUUCCUGACACAAUUCAUAUCAUAAUUAUGGUCCAAUCAUCUUGAACCUCAUUCCCAAUCAAUACAUCACAAAAAUAAUAGACAUGUAUUGUCCAAUAAUGAAGAUGCAAUCAAUAAAAACAAAAUACAUAAAUAAUUCUAAGGUUUACAUAACUUGCAAAAUUAAUUGAUUCUAAGAAAAAGAAUAAAAACUUAGAUUAUGAAUGUAAUGCGCCCAUUAUUUUAUCCGGGACAAUUUCUUAGUUAAAUAUAAAAAUUUGGGGUAAAAUCUUCUCUCUUUUUUUUAUCAUUCUAACAUUUCUAAUCAUAUAAGCAACUAUGAUAAAAUGCAAAUACUUAAUAUAACACAAAGAUAUUUUUAAGUAUGACAUUCACAUUAAUUACAUAUAACAAUUUUGUUCUACAAAUAAAAAAGUUCAUUCAACCUCUUUUACGUCAUUCAUUAAUCUCAAAAUACAUAUUGAUCAAUAUAAAUACACAAAAAGUGUCAUAUAUUCAAACAGGAUCUAUUUUACUGUUGCGAGGGUCCUGAAAAUAAGAUUAACAUUUUAUCAACAUAAUUAUCAAUAAAUGCAAUGUAUCAUUUCACUAUACCCAUAUAAAAAAAAUUUAUCCUAUAUAUUUUAUUAUGAAUCAUUAAUAUCUUACACCUCCAUAUUCAUCCAAUUAAUUCCAAUCUUAGCCAUUUCGCAGGGGUGCUACUCCAGUCGCCCAAUUACCGGGCAUUAGUUCAUCCGCCCAAAUGUGUUUAUUCACCCAAUUACCGGGCAUUAGUUCACCCGCCCAAUUACCGGGCAUUUAUUCACCCAAUUACCGGGCAUUAGUUCACCCGCCCAAUUACCGGGCAUUUAUUCACCCAAUUACCGGGCAUUAAUUCACCCGCCCAAUUACCGGGCAUUAGUUCAUCCGUCCAAAUGUGUUCAUCUGCUCAAUUACCAGGCAUUAGUUCACCCGUCUAAUUACCGAGCGCUAGUUCAUCCGUUGACAUCAAAACAUAAAUUACAAAAUUUCUAAUUAAAAUUAACACAUGUUUUUCAAUUAAUCUCUCUAUAAAAUUCAAGAUGUCGGACACCUACCUACUGGUGAUGCUCGACUAGUAGCUCCUUGUUGAUGUUUGGAGCCUCCAACCUCUCUUGUUUCAUUUAAAAGAUCACAUGAUUUCAAUACUUUAUUAUCCAAUAAUUUACUUGAAACUUCUCCACAUAGUAAAAUUUUCAAUCAAUACAAUUUUAAUACCCAAAAUUAAUAUCAUUAUUUUUUUUCAUGUUCUAUAAUAAUUCCACAAAUAAUUCUUACAAUGUUACAUCCAUCUAAACUUUUAAUUCAUCACAAUUAUAAGGGAAUCUUAUAUUAUUAUUAAAAUUUCCCAAUAACUAUAGGAAAUUUAAUUCCUUUACACCUAAUUCAACACAUCAUUUCAUUAUUAUUAUUUUCACUAUUUAAAUGCAAUUCAUUAAUUUCUUCAAGAUUGAAGUUUUAUUUCUUAUAUUUUUCAUGGCUAAAAUCACCUUUCUAAUAGGAGGAUAAAUUCAUUUCUACUCUAAAUUUUAAUCCAUCAUCCAAAUUCAAUUCAUCCUUUUAAGUCAUGAAAAAUCUCCAAUUACAUCAAUUCAACCCACCCCUCAAAAUUCUUUACCCUUGCCCAAAAUUCAAGUAAAAAAAUGAUGACAUGAUAAUUCUUCAACUUUCACUUAAUUUUAACCCAUUUAUUUAUUUUAUUUUAUUUUAUUUUUUUCAUGCCAACAUACAAUACUCUAGCACAACUUCAUAAAUUACAUCCACCAUUUCUAUUUAUCUAAGAGUUCCAUAAUCACAUAUAAUAAUAACUAAGUAUCAAUUUAUAAAAUUUCACUAAUCAACAUAAUAAGAUCAUAUUUACACAUAACAUAAUAAGGGAUCAAUAGCAAAUCCAAGGUAGAAACCACUCUUUUUCCUCCUCCAUCUUCUUUUCUCUUCUUUUUUUUCUUCCUUUUUUUUUACAAAUUAACCUAAUUAAUGACGAGCCCAAGCAUUUAUCCCCUCAAUAAACUUAUAAUCAACAUAAAUUCAUGCAUUCAAACCACCCUAACAUCAAGAACCCACCUUCACGUAAUACCAAUUCUACUCAAUCCAAGAACAAACAUGAAAAACAACACAAUGGAUCAUCAUGGAGAGUUUUCUUACCCUUAAGGAAUGAAGAAUCAAAAGCCAAAACAAGUUGAAUCAAUUAAGUUCUCAUUCACACUUUCCUCUAAGCUCAAUCUUUCCUUUUCUCUAAAAAAUCACUUAAAAUCUUUAAACUCCUUGUAGGCUCCUUAAUGUAUCAAACCCUCUCUUUAAAUACGUAACACUCUUUCUAACUUACACUUUUUUUUCAAGCAAUUUCUAUGAAAGAAGACAAAAACCAUCUUUUUCACAUUUUCUUCUCUUGGAUGGUUGCACACUCCCUCUUUUUUUCCUUCUUUUUUUCAUUGCUGGCAGCUUAUAAAGAGGGUUGUUUUGGGCAAAUUUUCAAUAUGGUCCCUAAAGAAAUUUCUAGACACUCAUUUAUGCUAUUUGUUCUUUUAUCUAAAACAAAAUCUUAUCAUACUCCAAAAAUUCUAAAACUUUAACCUAAGUUAAAAUAAUAUUUUAUAAGACUCUAGGCAAAAUUUCAACUUAAUCUAAUGAUCAUAUUGAAAGUUAUAUGCUACAACAUAAAAUUAGCCGAUUUGUGAUUUUUCGUCAAAAACUCAAAUUUUCAUAUUUCAUACUUAUACAAAUCAUAUCAAUUAAUUUACUCAGUUCUCGAGACCAUUUUUUUUUUAUCUCAAAUAUAUAUAUACACAUACCAGGGUUUACAUUCACCCUAAUAAAUUAUGGUAAAAUAUCUUGUUUUAUUGCCACCAACGGUUCUUGCCAACCUAUCACAAGUACAGAAAGAACAAAAAUAAUUUUUUUGUUGGUAGAGUUGAAAGGGAUGUUGCACCAUCAGUACCGUCGGGUGAAAAAUUUUAUAACGUGGUAUCAUAUUACGAUUACAUUAUGUUUGGUUUUCAAUUCGACAAGCAGAAAGUUUCAUGGCUUUGGUGUGCCUAUAAUUGGAUAAAGCAAAGUAUUUUAUGGGAGCUUUCUUAUUGAAAGACUAAUCUCCUCCGCUAUAAUCUUGAUGUUAUGCAUAUUGAAAUGAACAUGUUUGAAAAUAUUUCGAACAUGGUUAUGAAUGUGUAAGGGAAAUCAUAGGACAACAUUACUAAUGCUAGAAUGGAUAUAUCUUUGUUUUGUCAUUGUAGUAAUAUGGAGUUGGUUCAUAAUAGGUCAUAAAUCACAAAGCUCAAAGCUAGCCUCACCUUAUACAAAAAUGCAUAGUUAUUUAUCUACGAAUGACUUAAUAGUCUGUGUUUUUCUAAUGGACAUGCUGCGAACAUAUCUAGAUUUGUGAAUUUAAAGGAUUGCAAAUUGUAUAGAAUGAAAAGUCAUGGCUAUCAUGUGUUUAUACAAACACUCAUUUCAUUUUCUUAUCGGGAUUUAUUUCUAAAGAGAAUAUGAGAUGCACUUACGGAGAUCAAUUACUUUUUUAAAAGAUAUAUGCUCUAACUAGUUGCAUACCUAACAUAUUGAGAUGCUUGAAACGAAUAUCAUUCAGACUUGAGAUAAUAUUCCCUCCAUCUUUCUUUGACUCAAUGGAGCAUCUACCCAUAGAUUUACCAUUUAAGGCAAAAGUCAGAGGCCUUGUCCAAUAUAAAUGGAUGUAUCCGAGGUUAGGGAUUACACAUGUAUCCUAAUUAAAUUUGUAUUGUUUUUUUUUUAAUUUAAAACAUCCAUUUAAUCAUAUAUAGAUACUUUUCAACCUUAAGAGAAAAGUAAAAUACAAGUCGUAAGUUGAGGUUUCGAUAUACGGGGCUCAUAUUAUUGAAGAGAUCUCGAUAUUUAUCUCAUACUAUUUUAAGCCUCACUUAGGAACAAGAAUUAACCACGUUUCAAGACAUGAUGAUGGUGUGAAAGUGCCUUUGAGUAGGAAUUUAUUAAUAUUUUUCCAUCUUGGACGACCUAUACCAAAAAAUACAGUGAGGGAAAGAUACUUGACAAAAAUCAAAAUCAGGCAAGUACAUAAUUAUGUGAUAUUUAACUGUGAUGAAUUGAGACCUUUUAUUCAAUAAAUACAAUAAUUAACAUGUUGUUAUCUUCUAACAAUUUUUCUUUUAUACUCUCAUAAACUAAUAAAUUGAAUAAUUCAUCGUAUGCAACAUCAUCACUUUUAUUAUCUCAAAACUCACACCCGAUUGAAUCUUAAAUUUUUUAAUUACUAAAUGAAUAAUUUUUCAUGUGGUUUAAAACACAUAUAAGCACUGCUUAAUUAUUAUUAUAUAUUAUAAAACUUAAUUUCAUUACACCUUUCUCUUUAAAUGUUAAUUGUUGUCAUCUUAUACUGGGUUUAUCGAUUGUGAUGGAAUGUUAGUGGUACUUUGAAUUUAUUGUGUUUGGGUCCAGAAAGAAAAAUUAAGUGCAAUAAUGAAUAUUUCAUCAAUGAAAUUGUCUUUCAUACUAUAUAAAAAGUAUGGUCAUAGUAUAAAGACAUAUAACAAUGAGUUUAUGUUAAGGGAUCGACUUCUAAUGAGUUUGAAGUUAAUUAUUAUAGGAAGUUAAAAGAGAUGAUUGAAUUGCAAUAUCAUAGCGAGUAGAAUAAAAUCUUUUUAUUGAAAUGUUAUUGGUUUGAUACCACCGAUAAAGGAAUCUGAGUAGAUCCAUAUCAUAGUUUGGUUAAAAUUAAUACAAAGGCUAGACUUUAUAACGUCGACGACGUCUUUGUUUUCUCCAAAUAAUGCCAACAAGUUUAUUACAUAUACACUUCUUUCUUUAGAAAAGAUUGUUCAAGAUUUGAUUGGUUAUCUGAAAUAAAACUAAAUCUAGGGGUCGUGUUCAAGUUAUUCAGAAUGGUAACAAUAAAGUCACUAUGGGAGCUAGUUGUGGUGGUGGUUACAUUACGAGUGUGGAGACAUUACUUACAUGGGUCUCGUGUUCAAAUUUUUAUGGAUCAUAAGAGUCUAGGGUAUUUUAUGACAUAGAAGGAAUUAAAUAUAUGGUAGAGAAGAUGGAUAGAAUUAAUUUAGGAUUUUAACUGUGUAAUAAAUUAUCACCUAGGAAAGGCAAAUGUUGUUACCGAUGCCUUUAUUCAUAAGAACAAGGCAGUAAUGAAGACAUUAGAGGACAAGAAUGAAAGAGAGUUUACGGAAUUAAAAAUUUUGAUGCUAAGAUUGAGGUAGGGCCUGAGGUCUCAUUGUUGGCUCAAUUAAGAGUAUAAUCUGUACUUCAGGAUAGAGUCUUGGAAGUUUAACGAAAAGAUGCUCAAAUGGAUAAAAUAAGGAAUAAGAUGGAAUUAGGGGUUGAGAGACCUUUCCGGAUUUUGAAGGAUGGGAUGGUAAUGAUGGGUAGACAAAUGUAUCUACCUGAAGAAAAAACUUUAAAAGAGGAAGUACUAAGAGAAGCUCAUGAAUCAAGAUUUGUAGUACACCCGAGAAAUACAUAGAUGUACAUAGACUUAAAUUUUUUUAUUGGUGGCCAAAUAUAAAGAAAGAAAUUGCUAAGUUUGUGGCUAAGUGUGGAAUUUUCCAGUAAGUAAACAUGGAGCAUUAGAAAUUAGUUGGACCUCUUCAACCACUAUUGAUACCUAAAAGAAAAUGGAAAGACAUCAUUAUGGACUUUGUGUUGGGUUUGCUAAAGGGAAGAAAGGGUAGUGAUGCAAUUUGGGUUAUGGUAGAUCAUUUGAUUAAAUCAACACUUUUCUUGCCUCUGAAGAAGAAAGACUUUGUGUUGGGUUUGCCAAGGGGAAGAAAGGGUAGUGAUGCAAUUUGGGUUAUGGUAGAUCAUUUGAUUAAAUCAACAUUUUUCUUGCCUAUGAAGAAGAAAGACUUUGUGUUGGGUUUGCCAAGGGGAAGAAAGGCUAGUGAUGCAAUUUGGGUUAUGGUAGAUCAGUUGAUUAAAUCAACACUUUUCUUGCCUAUGAAGAAGAAAGACUUUGUGGAUAAAUUAGCUAAGUUGUAUGUUAGAGAAGUGGUAUGGGGUACCAAUAUCGAUUAUUUUUUAUCGAGACUUUAGAUUCAUCUCACAAUUAUGGCUAAGUAUUCGAUGUGCUUUAGGGACAAAGGUAAAUUUAAGCAUACCUUUUCAUCCAUAGUCAGAUGGGCAAUCAAAGAGAACAAUCCAGACUUUAGAAGAUUUAUUAAGAGCCUACAUAUUGGAAUUUGGGAGAAAUUAGGAAGAACACCUGUCAGUAGUAAAAUUCACUUACAACAAUAGUUAUUAGUCUAUAGUAGGGAUGACCUCCUAUGAAGCUUUGUAUGGUAGGAAGUGUUGAACCCCUGUUUGCUGGGAAGAAAUUGGAGACAGGAAAUUGAUAGGACCAGAAUUGAUGCAAAUCACUUCAGAAAAGGUGAAAAUUAUAAGAGAUUGAAUGAAAGCUGCUCAGGACUAGUAGAAAAGUUAUGUAGAUGUCAAAAAAAGGUAUCUUGAGUUUAAUGUUAGAGAUUUGGUGUAUUUAAAGGUUGCUCCCUGGAAGCAUAUGUUAUGGUUUGGUAUCAAAGGAAAAUUAGCGUUGAGGUAUAUUGGACUAUUCAAAGUGGUGAAGAGAAUUGGACCAAUGACAUAUAAGCUAGCUCUACCUUUAUAUUUAGUCAAGAUAAAUGAUGUAUUUCAUUUUAUUAUUGCAAAAGGCUGAUGUAGACCCUUCCCGAGUACUACCACAAGCUCCACUAGAGAAAAAAGAAGACUUGGCCAUGGAAGUAAAACAAAUAAGGAUUCUGGAUCAAAGUGAAAAAGAGUUGAUAAAUAAAAAGACUCAUAUGGUGAAAGUACUAUAGAGAAUUCUUAAGUCAAAGAAGAAACAUGGAAAAGAGAAUCAGAGAUGAAAAAGAAACAUCCAAAAUUAUUUAAAAAACAAGGUAUGGAAAUUAAAAUUUCAAUGUAAACUACAGGCUUAAAUUUUUCAAAAAUAUAAAAUAAAUGGGAUAAAUGAUGAUUAUAAUAUGUCUAGAUGGAUAUGAAUUGUAAACCCCGGGAUAAAUUAAAAAAAUAAUAUAAUAAAAAGUAUGGUGUAAUGAAAUGAAAUAAGAAAAAGAAAACAAAAGAGGUUCAUGGUUGAAAAUGUUCAUUUUUCUAGUAGCUAAAAUGGUCUAGCCAUUUUGAGAAAUGGCUAGACCAAUUUGAUAAGGUGGUCUAACCGUUUCUUAAAAUGAUCAAACCAUUUUGGCUAUUGCCCCCUUAAAACUAAUGGGGUGCAGUUAAGGGAGAAAGAGGGAAAAUUCAUUUCUUUUUCCUUUUUUUCGCCUUAAAGGGCUAAAGAGUAAGGUCUAUGAGUGAAAAGAGAGGGUUUUGAGAGAGAAAAACACAUUCAUACCAGAAAUUAAGAAAGAUUAAAGAGAGAGAAGAUUGAGUUAGAGAGAAAAAGUGAAGACAGAAGAGGAAAAUGUGUAGAAACGUGGAAAAUUUUGACUAGUUAGGAUUCAAAGACUAGAUUAUUGUUUGGUAAAGAGUUCUAAACAUAAUCUAACAAUUUCAUAUGAAAUGGAUAACAAUUGAGAUUGAAUUCAUAAAAUUAAUGCUAGGGUUCAUAGCGAAAAUUUGAGGGAAAUGUAAAUUGACUAUAAAUUAAACAAAUUGGGUUAGAUUAAGUUGUGUUAAGUGUUAAAUUGUGUAUAAUUAAUGAAGAAAAUCAUGACGUCCUUAAAGGCCCAAUGACCUACCAAUGAGGGACUAAAUUGCAUGUAAUAAAUUGUGUAGUUAAGUGAAAUUAUGGUAAAUUAGUGUAUAAUUGUGCAAGGAAAAUGAUUUUGAAAGAAUUUAGUUACAAUAUAAAGUGUGAUUGUAUGAGAAUGUGAUUAUAAUUGUGGUAUAUGAAAUAUGGUAUAAUUGUAAAUUACGUUAAUAUUUAUGUUUUCCAUGAAGUAGUUCUGACUAUUGGAUUGAUGGUUCCUAAAAGGUUGGAAUUAAAGAUAUUAUAGCAUAUAUUGAAGGAAAAUGAAUGGAAUGAGAAAAUGAAAAUUAAAGUUAAUGAGAAUUGAUUUAGAAAUUAAGGUUAAAUUGAAAGAAGUAAACCUAGAAUAUUAUUAUGUGUGUCAUAACCUAAUUUUUGAAUUUUUUUUCAAAAAUAGAUAAAUAAAAAAUGAAUGAAUGAAAAUAAUUUGAGAAUUGGGUUAAGACAAUACAAAUUGAAAGUUUGAGGACUAAUAAGGAUAAUUAUAAAUUUGGGAGUCAAUUUGGUCAAAAAUUGAAAGAAUUGAUAAGUUUGAAAACUUAAUUAAACUUUGAUUUAAUUAAUUAAGUAAAGCAAUUAGGGGCUUAAUUGAAAAAAUAAUAAAGUUUGGGGUUGAUUUGGGUUGAAAUUGUAAGGAAUUAAAGUCCAAGAACCAAAGUGAAUAGAUGGUGAUACUAUAGGGGGUUAAUUGAUUUUUAAGGGUAAUUUUGAAAGAAUUAAAAGUUGAAGAGCUAAUUAAGGACUUAAUUGAUUAAUUCGGAAACUAAGGAUUGUUUUGUAAAUGACAUUGAAAUCCAAGGGGGCAACUGCAAUUGAUCCAGGGGAAAAAUUAUAUAUAUAUAUAUAUAUAUAUAUAUAUAUAAGAGAAGAUUUCCAUGAAUAAGAACCCAAUUGCUAAAUGUUAGAACUUCAGGUGGGCAAAUUGAAAAUAGCCAUUUCAGUUGAAAACGACGCCGUUUAAAAAAUAGUGUUCAUCACCAUCUUCUUCAUUCCACCGGUUCAACAAGAAGGAAAAACUGCAGCGAAACCCAUUCGUAACACAUUUCCUACGAUGUAUCUUCAAAAGUCAUGGCCAACAGUCCCGUAAUGGUAGGACUGUUACUCCCUUAUUUUUCCUCAAAUAGGGACCAAUGUGCCCUUUGAAGCACAAACAAAGGGGCAUUCUCUUGCUUUAUAAAAGCCAGAGAAAGGCCAUUAAGAGGAGAAAAAAAGACACAGAAGCAAACACAGACAGAAAAACUGAGAACGAGAGAUAAAACCAAAAACUGACAGAAAGAAAAACACAAAGAAAGAAGAACAAAGAGAGACAGGGAGAAUAAGAUAAAGCAAAAAAAAAAAUCAAAGAGAGAAAAAAGAGAACAAGAGAGAAGUGAACGAAAAACAAAAGCAGAGGGGAAGAAAGUAGCAUUGGACAACCAUUGCACCGUUGCCAUCAUCUUCGCCUCCAGCAUCAUCUGAAACCAGUAAGUUUCAUCUCUUCCCCGCUUUGUAUCUUCAAUUCGCUUUGUACCUGUGCACUAUGCAGAGCACACGUGAAUAAUUCACGCAUGCAUGCCACUUCGGCCAGCCAGGUCACUAGCGUGGGCCAAUGACCAGGUCGGGCUGGCUGGGUUGAGCCUAGCCUGUACGGCUGGGCUAGAUCUAGAGUCAGGAAUGUUAUAAGCAGACCAUAAAAAACAAAACAAAACAAACCCUUAUCAAUUUAUGAUAAAACCAACAAUAUAGCCUACCUCAAGUAGGACGUUUAAGGAGUAAUAUUAUCUUUUCUUUUGUGUAACCAGACUUGUACCAUAAAAUAUCCAUCGACCAGUGGAUUCCUAGUGACCAUAAUACUAGGUGACAACUCCUUAAACAAGAGUUUUCCCCUAUGAGAACAAGAUGUCAGAUAUCUGUUCUUUUUUAAAAAAAUUAAAAGGUCGUCGCAAUGUCGGGUGCAACAAAAUGGCGACUCCACUGGGGAAACUUAUUGGACUAAGCUUUGUCUUUUAUUUGUCAAUUGUUAUGAUGUUUGUUAUGUUGUGUUUAUGUGGUUAUCACUUUUUACUGCUUUAACACGGAUCCUUAUUGUCAUGGAUCACUUUAAGAGCACACACCUUAAAUUUUAAAAUAGAUGGGGAAGUAACGAUACCCCAAUGGCUUUAGCCUAGGCAAUACUCUUGAAACCAUCCAACUCUUGCCUGAUUGUUUACUUGGAAGUGGUUGAUAUGCCGAUUUGAUAUUAUUCAGGGCCUUUAUUUUCACACUCCUUGUAAGUCUUAUAUCAACCUUUCAAGGACGAUCACUAAGCAUGCGAGAAACCCAUUGAGACUAGGUAGUAAACUACCCUUUGAUGCACUUAACGACUAGAACCUACCCACUAAGUUGUACCAUGUGUAAUCUCACUAGGGAAAGCUCAACAUAUGGCAUCUUGAAUUCCAAAACCAUUGGGUGGCAAAUGGUCAUCACAUAGGAUACAAGAGUCUGAGUUGUUAUAGUUGACAAAAGGGAAAUUAUUUGAAUUAAAAGCCAAAAGGUUUAUUAAAAGCUCAAACUUAGGUAGGACUGGACAAAAAUCCCCUAAUUGGCAUGAUAAUGACAUCUGGUUCCCAAAACUCAUGAAUAAACAAUCGUUGUCACCCCGUGAAGGGCGAGUCCACAUUGAACAUACCUUUUUCUUUUGCUUAAUUACAUGAUUUUCAUUUACCAGGUUGAAAUAUAGGUUCUCCAUUGAAACAUACCUAUAACACUCGACUGUAAAAAGGAUAAAUGGAAAACAAAGAAAGAGCCCAGUUGGAAGUCCAACACCAAAAAAAGUUGGAAAGUCUUAAAAAAGAAGUCGCAAUGCUUACUAGUCUACUCAAACAGGCCUUGGAUAUAAAUCCGGAGAAGCAACAUUUACAACUCAACCUCCACAUAUGUCUACAACUCCCUUCAAUCCAUAGAAUCUGGGGGUAAAUGAGGUGCUAUCUGAAUUUCAAUAGGCUACAUAUUUAUAAUUUGCUCAACCAACAUAUUCCAUAAGAAUGUCAUUUACCAUUGACUUUACAAUGAAGAAAUUUUAAAAAGACAAGAUGGUAAAAGAAGAUGGUCUGGAAAAAUUAAUUGCCCUAGAGAAAAGGAUGAGGGCAGUUAAGGGAACUAGCAUAUAUGAUCCCAUAAAAGCUGUUGAGAUUUGUUUAGUGCCCAACGUGGUCAUUCCCAUAAAGUUUAAAGUGCCAGAAUUUAUUAAAUAUACUGGAACUCAAUGCCCUGAUAGGUCAUGUUCAAGUUAUACAUAAACUCAUCUCAAAGUAUACUACAACAAAAUGGUUGAGGUGGUUAAUGAUGAGAAACUGUUGAUUUACUUCUUUCAAGACAAUUUGAGUGAUGCUGCCCUUACUUGGUAUAUGUGAUUGGACAAUACCAAGGUGAAAAAGUGGAAAGAUUUAGUUGAUGCUUUCAUUAGGCAAUAUAAGUUCAAUAUAGACGUGAACCCUGAUAGGUCAAGCUUGUAAGCUAUGGAGAAGGACAAAAAAGAGUUUAUAAGAGAAUACGUCCAAAGAUGGCGUGAGGCCGCUGGACAUGUUAAACCUUCUUUGUUGAAAAUGAGAUGAUCAGUUUAUUUUUGAACACCUUUAAGACCAUGUACUUUAAAUAUCUGGUUAGAAGUUCUGCACAAUGUUUUAUUGACCUGGUUAUUAUAGUUGAAAGGAUUGAACAAGCUAUCGGGUUAGGUAAGAUUGCUGACCCGACUAAAAAGAAAAAUUUCAUUGGAAAAAUAAAGGAAACUGAGGUUCAAAAUACCAAAGAUGAUACCAAAGGCAUGCCCAAAUCAAAAUAAAAAGUGAUAGUCAAAUCAAAAUGAUUAUGCCUCGGUCAAAACAAUGAAAAAAAAAGUGAAUCAAAGAAAGAGAUUGAAAGAUAUAAAGAGUCAAGUUGAUGAUAGUGACUCUGAGUUUUUGAAACCUUGAAACAUUUUUUUGAGCAUUAUGAAUCCUUUUUUUUUCAUGGCCAAGAACCAUAGCCUAAGUUACGUGCCUUUGAAAUUCCUUUCUAAUUAAGCAAGCAAGCGAUUUGGAACAAUAAACAACGUUUUUUAAAUGCAAAAGAUACUUUUUCAUAAUAGUCAUGACAUCAAGAACAAACUACACAUUAUUAUUCAUGCUGAUAAAAUAAGUGUUCAAAAAGAGACAACUUUUUCUCAAACAAAACCUCGAGCCUUUUCUCAAGCCCUUUUGCUUUGGAACUCACAAAAAUAAAAGGUCACCUCAUGAUAUACCAUCACCAAUGACAAUAUCGCCUACACAAAAACAAGUUAUCUCCUUUCCAAAAAUAAUCAUGGAGUUGUAAUUUCAAAAACAAAUUGUUUUAAACUCAUAUCGAAACAAUUUUUGUUUUCAAAAUGCAAGAUGAAGAUUUCAAAGUUCAUUCUGGGUAAAGAUUCUUUCACCAAAACCAAAAAAAAGAAAGGAGAGAACGUUUAUUCAAAACCAUCAUUUGUUUGAGUCACUUAUGGAACACACUUAAGGGCAAUGGCCAGCACAAAGGGGCAAUAUUACUCUUAAAAGAGGAUUUGAUCUCUAUGGGUAACAAUAAAAAAAGAAAAAGGAAAGAAACAUUUUCUACAACGAGACAAGGGGACAUUUUUGUUUACAAAAGGCAAUUUGAUCCUUUCAAGAUAGCUAGUAACAAGGGGAGUAACAAAUGAUCUCCUUAAGAUGAUCAAUAAGACAUAGUAUGUCUGACAAGUAAAUGGGUCAUGAUUGGCACCAUAAAGGCUGAGUUGGAAAAAAUGCAAAUAUUAUGGAAAAUGACUUACAUGGGCCAACACGAGUGGACUAAAAACCGAGCGACAAAGAGGACUCAAAAUCAGAAAUGGCAAGACUUCAUCAAUCAAGCAACAAAGAGAUUGAAAAGAAAUAAGGGCCUAUAUUUUAAACUAGGUAAAGAUGUAUGCAUGUCAUCUAACCCUGAAGCAUUGAACAAUGUGUUUUGCAAAAAUUCACAAGAGAAAUCCCCGAUAAAAUCCAUCAAAAGAAAGGUCGCCUCGAAAUAGGCUAAAAAUUCAAAACACUUUUGAAAUUUUUUCUUUUUUAAGAAAUUGUUGACUUAGGGAGGCCUGUCCAUGAGAAUUAGACCACCUGAAAAAUCUUUGUAUUUUUCAAAUGGGUAAGUCACCCAUCAUCAUGAGACCCUUCGAGUUUUUUCACUUAGGUAGAUCGUCCAUGAGAAUUAGAUCAACCUAAAAAAAAUCUCUUCAUAUCUUUCAUCAAUGGGAAGGUCACCCUUCACAAUGAGACAUUUCAAGUUUUUCCCCUAGGCAGUUCGCCUAUAAGAAUUAGACCACCUUGAAAACAAAUCUUCAUGCCUCUCACCAAUGGGUAGGUCACCCAUUACAAUGAGAUCAAUGUUGAAAAACUUUUAUGUAGUUUUCACCAACGAGCAGGUCGUCUGGAAUAAUUAGACCACUUCUAAAAAAUCUUUAUAUUUUUCACCAACAAGCAGAUUGCCUGAAAUAAUUAGACUACUUCCAAAAAAUCUUUAUAUUUUUCAUCAACGGACAGGAUGCCCAUGAGAAUCAGGCCACUUGAAAAAUCUUUAUAUGUAUCAAUUUGAAAAGUCAUCAAUUGCAAUGAGACCCUACGAGUUUUUCAACAGGCAGAUCACCUGGAACAAUUAGACCACUUCCAAAUUUUUUUUGUAUUUUUCACCAAUAGGCAGGUUGCCUGGAAUAAUUAGACCACUUCUAAGAAAUCUUCAUAUUUUUCACCAACGAGUAGGUCGCCCGAAAUAAUAAGACCACUUUCAAGAAAUCUUUGUAUUUUUCACCAACAGGCAGGUCGCCUAUAAGAAUUAAGUCACCCAAAUUUUUUUUGUAUUUAUCAAUUUCAAAAGUCACCCAUCACAAUGAGACCCUUUGAGUUUUGCAACGGGUAGGUCGCUUGGAACAAUUAGACUACUUCCAACAAAUCUUCGUAUUUUUCACCAGCAGGCAGGUUGCCCAAAACAAAGAGAAAAUGAAUUGAUGAGAUUUUUUUUAUAUUGUAUAAAAGUUGGGUGAUGAUAUUUGUUUUUCAUGUGAGGUUGAGUUGAGUUGAAUUUCUUUUCUCUUGACGUUAGGUCCUACUAGCUUUUCUCUUAUUUAAUUGUUUUUCAUAUGGUAAAGAGAAAAUAAAUUGAAAGGAUUUUUUUUAUAUUAUAUAAAAGUUGAAUGAUGAUAAUUUUUUUAAUUUGAGGUUGAGUUGGGUUUAAUUUCUUUUCUUUUACUGUCACUAGAUAAAGUUGUAUCCUGCUGCUUGGGAGAACCUAACAAUGCUGGAUUCUGCUACCACUAGGAUACAAACAGCCCUCUCAAAAUUCUUCAACUGUUUCAUGGUUCAAAGUUCAAUGAUACAAGGAGAAAUUGAGUAACAAAAGAAAAGAGAACUGUUAGGGAAAAAGCAAUUAGUCAACUGUAAGAAUUGAAAGCGAAAUUUAUAGUGAUUUCUUAGUGCUCAGUUCAGUUGGCUAGGGUGUGCAGUAAAAGCAGAAAAGGUAUUAUGAUUUUUUUUUAAUUUAAUAUAGGUAUUCGGAUCAGCUUACACGCAGCUCGACUAAGAUAUUUAAUACUAUUAAUAAGUGAAAUUUAGAAAAAAGCACACAUUCUAAGCAAGGGAUUCAAAGUUGGAUGAGUUGAGGUUAUUUAUUUGUUUUUUUAAUUUAAAUUAAUAUUAUUUAAUAUUUUUAUAUUAUUUUGAUAUGAUGAUAUAAAAAAAAAAUUUAAAAAUUAAAAAAAUAUUAUCUCAAUAAUUUUUAAUUUUUUUAAAUAAUCAUUACGUAAUAAUAUAAUAGCUAACAUAUUGGCUCGCGUUUCAUAGGGGUCAAUAAUAAAAUUUUUUGCAAAAGUAAAAUUACUUGAGUUGGAUUAAAAGCAUAUAAUAUAUUUUCAAUAUCACCAUCUUUAAAUAAAAUAUUUUCUAUAAUAGCAUCAUGAAUAGUACAUAGCAUAGCAGCACCCAAUACACUUGCAACUAAUUUCUUUCUCUUUAAUUUUUUUUCUUUUAAGAUAUUUUCAAUUUUAUUUUUUUCUCUUUAAUUUUUUUUCUUUUCUCUUGUUGAAUUUUUUUUUCAUACUGUAAAGAGAAAAUAAAUUGAUGUGAUUUUUUUUUAUAUCGUACAAAAGUUGAGUGAUGAUAAUUUUUGUCAUUUUUAGGUUGGGUUGAAUUUUCUUAUUAAAGUAUGUUUGUUUUUGUGUUUCAAAAAUGCUACUAAAAUAUAUUUUUAUUUUUUUUCUUUAUUUUAAAUUAAUAUUUUUUGAUAUUUUCAUAUUAUUUUGAUGUGAUGACAGACCCACGGUGCCAAGUCAUUUAGUAGAGUAGCACCCAAUACACCGACAUCUAAUUUCUUUCCCUUUAUUUUUUUUCUUUUAAGAUAUUUUCAAUUUUAUUUUUUUCAUUUUUAAAUUUUUUUCUUUUCUCUUAUUGAUUUUUUUCAUACCAUAAAGAAAAAAUAAAUUGAUGUGACUUUUUUAUAUUGUACAAAAGUUGGGUGAUAAUAAUUUUUUUAAUUUUAGGUUAAGUUGAAUUUCCUUAUUAAUGCAUGUUUAAUUUUGUGUUUCAAAAAUACUUUUAAGAAAAAUUGAUUUUUUUUUUACUUCAAAUAAAUAUUUCUUUGCUAUUGAGUGUGGCUCGCAACCAUACAUAAUAGCAUUUGAGUUUUUGGGUCUGGUUCUGCAACCAGGCUCAAUACCUUCGAGGCAAGACCCAAUAACAUUUGGAUCUAACUUUGCAGUCAGAUCCAAAAAUAUUAAAUCGGGCUCUAUGACUGAUCUAAUAGUGUGGAGUACUGUUUCCAAGCAGGAACCAAUAAUACAAGAUCCAAUAACAUUAGGUUAUGUCUUUAGCAUGACUCAAAAGCUACUUGGUUGGUUGUUACACUCAAUACUAUUGAGUUUGUUUUUAUAACCAGAACAAAGAUUAUUUUAGAACGGACAAUCCAGAUUCAAAACGCUUUAUAUAUUUUUUAUACUUUUCAAAUUCUUUUUAUAUUUUAAAAAAGUUAUUAUUAACCCGGUACGGAUAUGCUCGAGCAGUAUGCUAUUAUCUAUAUAUAACGAUGCUUCCUUAAUUUAUGUAAAUUUUCUAUCAUAACGGUUAAAAAAAACACAGCACAGUGUCUGAAUGAAUUGGGUUAUCGUGGCGUCAUCUGAGCCGUAUAUAAAAAACUUGUGAAUCUUGACCACAUGCAUAUUUUAAUAGGAAUGCUAAAUAAUAAUAAUAAUUAAUAUUUAAUUGAUUAAACUAAAAGGUUAACAAGGAACAAGAAAGCCAAGACGCGAAUUAAAAUACUCAACUCCCACGUGUCAAGCAAAAAAGGAAAUAGGAAAGUCUCCGUGUUCCAGAAACUUCUGUUGAAUACGUGGCUGAAAACGAAUACUCCAGAAACUCAUUAGGAUGAUGACACGUGUCAGGCCCCUUACAUGGCACUCAAUUAGCUUGGCAAUUCCUCCUCUUCAAGAAAGUUCCAGGGAACUAACAGCUUGAGAGGAAUAAUCUAGAAAUGCGCCAGGUUAAUGCGACGUGUCCAAUCCAUUACUAGCAUCCAACGUGGCAUAUCGCCGCUCCUUGUAAAUGAUACGACCUCUGCUUUUAGCUGAAUUUUUUUUUUCCCCGAAAUUCUCUCACUCAUACUAGCACUUGAACUCGUCGAGACUAGAAGACUUUAUUUGAAGAAUUUUAGAUUUUUACUGGUGGUCUAGAUGGCGGUAAAUGAUAGAAACGAUAAGGAGCAGGAAGAUGGGAAAAUGGAGGAAGGUAAAAAAGCAACAGUGUAUAUGUGGGGUUAUCUCCCCGGAGUUUCACCGGAGAAAUCACCCAUACUGAAUCCGAUAUCGGUGAAUUAUCCAGAUGCAGAUGAUUCAUGGAAGGAUGUAUGUGGUGGUGGUUGUGGUUUCGCCAUGGCAAUAUCAGGUUAAAACUGAUUAGUUUCUAAUGAAUUAUUUGGGCAGAUCUGAUGUGUCUAAAUUAUUUUGAUUUUUUAAUGUGGAAAUAGAAGGUGGAAAGCUGGUAACAUGGGGAUCGGCUGAUGAUGAAAAUCAAAGUUACGUGACAUGUGGAAAGCAUGGGGUAAUGAUUUUUUAUUUUAGUUUUUUUUUUGGAAAUUUGCUGAAAUAAAUAUAUAGUUUUGUGUUUGAAUUUGAUUCGUGUUGUCUGCAAUGAAAUGCCAAAUUUUGUUAAGGAAACUCCUGAGGCUUUUCUUCUUCCUUCUGAAGCUUCCAUCCUCAAAGCUGCUGCUGGUUGGGCUCAUUGUGUUUCUGUCACAGGCAAUCCACUUUUUUCUUCUCUUUCAAGAAAAUAUACUAGCAAAAUGUUUAAGGGGUGGGUUUUCUCUGAAUUUGAAUGUGGGGGUGGGGUCGCGUGUUAUUUUUGCUUGUCUGAUUUAUUUUUGUACAGAUACGGGGGAACUGUAUACAUGGGGAUGGAAAGAGUGCGUUCCGCUUGGAAAAUUUCCUCGUGAUGGGGCUUCUUGGGGAGCCCUCCAGAAGGAUAAUGCUGCCAAGCAAAAUGUGUUGUCAACUGAACAAGGUAAUCAGGUUGAAAGAAUGCAUUUCUUAGAAAAAUAAUGGGUGUUAGUCCCUUUUCUUUUUCUCAAGUAAUUUUCUUUCUUUUUUUGGGAAAAAUUUAAUGAUUGCAGUGAGUUCAGCGUCUUCUGAUGACAAAAGGAACGGAGAGGAAAUUGUGAAGCGAAGAAGAGUGUCACUGAAAGAAGAAAAUGAAAAUUCGGAAUAUGGAGAUGAAUAUUUCACAGUAACACCGGCUAUUGUGUCUUUGGGUCCAGGAGUAAGGAUCACCUCCGUGGCUGCUGGUGGGCGCCAUACUUUAGCCCUGUCUGGUAAAUGAAAAUUGAUAACUUGUUGAGUUGUAAAUUACAGAUUGAGUGAGUCUCUUGUUUCACACCGUUUGUUUCUGCGGGGCAAAAAUAUUUUUUAAAAAAUCUAAUAUUUUUAUAUAUUUAUAAAUUAUUUUGAAAUAUUAAUCUCAAAAAUAAAUUUUAAACAAUAAAAAAAAUAUUAUUUUAAUUAAAAAAUACUUUAUAAAAUAACCAAAUACUAUAAACAAUCUCUUUAGUCGGCAACACAAGGUUGUUUUGUAGGUUAGAAGUUCGCAGGAGGUUGUAUGAAGUACGAAGAUGUGGAAGAUUUUUUAAUGUAAAGCAAGACUCAUGAUGUCAUAUUUUUAACUGGGGUUUCAGAUACGGGACAGGUUUGGGGUUGGGGAUACGGAGGAGAAGGGCAGCUAGGUUUGGGAUCUCGUGUAAAAAUGGUGUCUUCUCCCCAUCUCAUACCAUUUACCGAGCAACCUACUACUGGAAAACACAGAUCCUCAGUAGUUCAUAAUGGAAGCACAAAUCUGCCAGCACAAGUUUCUAAUUUCCCUGGAAGUUAUGUGAAGGAGAUUGCUUGUGGAGGUCGGCAUAGUGCAGUAGUAACAGGUUAGCAUCUGACAACUGAUAUGAUUGCCAGCUCGAAUGAUUUUAAUUCCUCUAAAAGUGUAGUGAAAUUUCCAGUUGUUACUUUUAGUGAGUUUGGCCACCAGCUAUGCAUCAAAAUCUUAAUUCAACUAAAAAAAACUUCUCUUCAACUGUUAUGGCAUUCAAGUUCAUUUGCAAACUAUGGAAGUUGAAUUCUUGAUUGACUUCGUCUACUUUACUUUUUAGACAAAUAUAAAGAGAUUAUUAGCCAAUUAUGGUCUCAUUGAAGUGGAAUACCCUGAGCAAAUGUUUGGGGACAAUCCUAUCCUUCAACAACAUUAUAUGAAGUGGCUGCUUUCAACAAUUGAAUCUGCACUCUUGUGGUUGCAAGUCCUAGACUCUUUUCACUGCUCCAAUCAAUGGUCCUUUACUUGAAAAAAAAAAACCCUAUAAUUAUCAGCAAUACCUCACUUGCUGUCUUCUUUUUGUUGUUGAUAUUGCAGAUGCUGGAACACUACUUACAUUUGGCUGGGGACUUUACGGGCAGGUGAGCUUUCUAUAUUCCUAAGCUGAUGUUAUCUUUUUGCGUUCUUUAUUUUUUUGUUUCAGGUAGAACUUAGGUUCAGAUUAUUAUAUGUUUUAAUCCACCUGGAUCUAAAAUGGUCGUUUGUGAUGGAAUUGUUUUCUUCAGUGUGGACACGGGAGUACAAAUGAUCAGUUGAGACCAACUUCUUUACCUUCUCUAUCAGGAAUCCAAAUUGAAAGAAUUGCUGCUGGCCUAUGGCACACUAUGUGCAUCACCAUCGAUGGUCGUGUAUAUGUAUUUGGUGGGAAUCAGUUUGGACAAUUGGGUACUGGAGCUAGCCAGGGCGAGGUACCUCCUACAUCCGUCAUCGCCUUGAAUUGUGUUUACGCUCCUGUUAAAAAAAAAAUCCACGAGUAGUGUUUUGUUUGUGACCAUCUACGUGGUUUACAUAUUGACUAAUUCAACUGAAGGAAACUAACUAAUAACUGAGGCAUUUGCAUGUCUUUUUCAGACUCUACCUAGACUCUUGGAGGAUCCAUGUCUGGAGAGUAAGCUGGUGAAGAUGGUUUCUUGUGGCGCUCGGCACAGUGCCAUUCUACUAGGUACUAGUCAAUGUUGGAAUAGUCCAUGAGAGUUACUUUUUCAGCUCUUUACCAGUUUAGUUCAACAGUGCUCAGUGCAUAUAAAGGGAUUAAGACUUUUAUCCAGCUAUAAAGAAACUAUACCAGAAAAUUAGAAAUCCUGUCUAAUAAACUGGCGCUUAAUUAGUGAAAGAUAUUCAUAGGAGUAGGGAUAGGUCAUGCAAUAUUGCUUGUUGCUUAUGGAAGUGGCACCAGAGUUCCAUCAGCAUUGAUAGUGUAUUUUCUUUUUCAAGUACAAUACAAGAUGCUCAUUAGUGGAACUUGCUUAUUUUUCAGCUUGAGUAAUAGGAAUAGGGAUCCUUCUUAUUUGAAGUGGGGGAAUCCUUUAUCUGAAAUCGAUUUCCAUGAUGGUGCAACAAUGAAACUAGUAUAGGCUAUUGUUUGUAGCUGUAUCCAUGCGUUAUCAAUUAAAACAAGCUUAUUUGUAAUCUCUGAAACAUGUGCUCUGACUCCCUUUUUUUUUUUUUUUUUGUCUCUCUUGCUUAUUUUUGAAGAGGAUGGCCAAGUAUUUUCCUGGGGUUGGAACAAGUAUGGUCAGGUACUAUACUCACAGUUUCCUGUUCGGAAUUGGUGUACCAAAUGCACAUCUUUAGCUGACAUCUUAUUGGCUGCAUGCAGCUUGGCGUGGGCGAUUCAAUUGAUCGUAACACCCCUACUCAAGUUCCCAUUGAAGGUUGUCGACCAAAAAUGGUGGCAUGUGGCUGGUGGCACACAUUGCUGCUAGCUGAAACACCUCUGAAAUCCUAGAUUUGUCAAAACAAGUGAAAGGGAUGAUGCAGUUUUUACUAGGAUUCUUCUCCUGGAUCAUUUCCUUUAUUUUAACUUUCAUUUUUUAAGCAAGCUUGUUAUGAUUACCAGUGACAUUUUACCAACAAUGUAUGUAACAUUCGAGCAUGCUCUCUGUUUUACCCUUUUUAGAGUUGGUUCGGAUCCAACGAAGCUUUGCGAACUGCAAGAACAAUCUCCUCAUUUGUACGCAAACCAUCACUCCUUGUAAUAACCAACAUUAGUCCAAUUCUGAUAUACAAAGCUCAUCAGAUGAGAAACACAACCUCCCCUCGUAUUUAACUGGAUGAGGAUGCAUCAAAUCUUUGCUAGAUAUCGAAUUCCUUCUACGAUGCAAAAGCUGCAUCAGGGGCAAAGAAGAUGCCCAGUCUAUGGAAACCCUUGCAAGCCCGUGUACAUUUGCAGAUUGCAUAAAUAAAAUUUGCUCAUUUCUAAAUUUACACAUGCUGUGAGGAAAGUUUCUAUUAGAAUCCAGUUACCUCGACAAUGAAAUGUGCCCAUGUGUCAUUAGAUCGACUUUCAAUUACACCCUUCAGGAUGGUCAGGUCUAAACUGCGGAUCACCUGGGCCAUCUCCAAGAAAACACCUCGAUCAUCGCAUAGCAUCUGCAGCACAUGCUAUUUAGCAAAUCUUGUAAAGCAAAUGUUCCCAGAGAAUCUAAAUUGUAUGAGGAUUUGUCCUGGUAUGCAAGAUCUUCCACAACUAUUGGGCAUAUCUGGAGCUCAUCUCCAAAUUGAAAUGCCCAGUUUUUCCAAUUUGGCUAUUCUCUUUGGCUUCAGACAGUCUGCAGUUCUUGCGGUCAGAAACUUGCAAACCCAUUUCAGCUCAAUUACGAUGUGAUGCGUAUCAGUUGUCAAUUCUCAGUGGCCUAAACAGUGCAGUGAUUUCUCGUUGUUGUUAAUACAGUUAUGCCCUGUUAUGUAUAACAUGUUGUGUGUGUUUUGAUAUUAUUUAUCAUAUCUUUAACAGGAAAGGGUUCUUGGCCUAAUAUAGAGGAAAGAGCUCGGCAAUGUAUAGUAUGCUGUGUGUGUGUGUGUGUGUGUGUGUGUUUUUUUUGUCUUAACCCAGAAAACUUACUGCUUGCUCGGCAAUGCAUCUAUCAUGAGCUUCGUUAUUUGAACAACCUAUAGUAAAUAGCUCAUCCUGGUCCAGCAUGAAUGAAAUCUAUGACGCACAAAUUCUUUGUCAACAGAUUUCAAGGAUGGCCAUGGCUGACCUAUCUAAACAGUCUAGGUUUCGGUUACCUUAUUGUUUAUGACCAGCUAAGCUAGCAGCAGUAGGAUGCUAACUAAUUAUCUCAAGUUGAUCACAGCUUAAUACCACGUGGAAUGGUUCUUCCCAAAACACAUACAGAAAAAGAAAAAACAAUGUAAUGGUGUAUCAGAUCAAACACGAAGCAUUUAUGAAACCCACAGCGAACGCAAAAUCAACCACUAAAACCUCUAGCCUUUUUUAGGGUGAGGGUGAUUGCGAGCUUUUCCCCGUCCGUUGUUCCUGUUAAAAAAUUAUGCUCAUCAUGCUAUUCAAAGCAGCUGUAGGAUCCAUGUUUCCACUCUAAAUUUUUUCAUCCGUAAAUUAUAAUAAAUUUUUCCGUCAUUGUAUUAUCCAUAGGUAAAUAAUGAUAAAAAUAUUCUCUCGUCAUCUAGAGAAUUAUAAUGGUAAAAAAAAAGAAAAAAAAAACUAAAAAUACAAUGACAUGUCAUUUUACAGAUAAAAUUACCGACAGAUUUAAAUUUAUUAGUAAAUUCAUUUGUAAUAUUUAAUUUAUGACCUGACGAACGAUUCUUCUGUCUCCCUCCCCCAUUUCUUUUACUUCCUGUAUUUUUUUCUACAACAAAUAGCACAACCUCCCCCACCAAUUUUAUCACAAAUCAACCUCUCACUACAAAUCCGGCCAACCCAACAUUCAGUUUGUCAGCAUUCCUAUUCUGAUUUAAAUUAUAUUGAGGAUUCCCCACUUCAAAUAAGCAAAACUACUCAUUUUUUAUUUGAACUAAAUUUUAAAAUGUUAAUUUUUAUUGCAUAUUUUUAUGGUAUAUGUAUUUUAUUUAGGUGUUUACUUGUUUUAUAGCUUUUUCUUAUAGAAUUUUGUUGUAUGAAUAUAUGAUUUGUACAUAUUAGGUUUUGUUUAAGAUUUUAUAAAAUUAUAUUUGUUUAUAAAUUGAUGAAAUUUAUUUUGAAUUUGUGACUUAGGUGUCUUGUAAUGAAAUAAAUAAUGACUUAUUUAACGAGUCUGUUUUAUAUUUUGUCAAUUUUAUUGUUGAGUUGAAAUUUUCAGUAAAAGUAUAGAAAUUUGAAUUUAUAUAGAUAAUUGAUAAUGAAUUAGUUAUACCAUUAAAAUAGUUUGAAUAAGUUUGAGUUAAACCAAUGUUCUAUUAUUUAUUUAGUUUAAUUAAUUAAUACAUGUUGUCAUCAAUAUUCUAUAUAAGUUUGACAUAAGUAAUGGAUGAUCAUUCAUGGAUGUUUCAAGAUUUACCCGAAAGGUUACGUAGGAUGGAUUAUUAUAAUGGGAUUCAGGGUUUUAUUAAUUAUGCACUAUCUAAUCCAAGAAAUAUUAGUGGAGGUAGUAUUAGAUGCCCAUGUAAGACGUGUAAAAAUAAAAAGUUUCUCGAUCCAGAUAUUGUAAUGAUACAUCUUCUACAAAAAAGGUUCAUGGAGAGAUAUUUAUGUUGGUUUGCACAUGGAGAACCAUAUGUUCCCCACGAGACCAUGAUAUAAAGGAUGGUUGGGUCAAUUUCUAGUUCUAGUAAUGUGCAUGAAGUUAUAGAUGACAAUAGUAAUUCUUAUAGGAUUAAUAUGGUUUUGGAUGUGAUGAGAAUAAAUCAGGGUUAUGUCGGUUAAGGUCCAAUCUUAGAUGAAGAACAUAAUGCAAACACGACUAGGUUUUUUGAUCUUUUGAAAAACUCCGACAAACCAUUAUUGAAUAAGUGCACAAAUCAUAAUAAAUUAUUGGUUGUUACACAGGUGUUCACCAUCAAAUCAGAUCAUGGGUUGAGUGAGGUCAAUUACAAAAGAAUUGUCAAAUGGGUGAGAAACAUUUUACCUGAAAUGAAUAGGCUAAAAUUGAACUUUUAUUCUAUUAAAUCCAUAAUGAAACCCCUCAGCCUAGGAUACUAUAAAAUUGACAUGUGUCCAAACUUUUGCAUGUUAUACUAACUUGAAAAUACAGAGUUAAUCGAGUGCAUAACAUGUGGACAUGCUUGUUAUAAACCCAAAACUGGCAAGGAAAAGACUUUUGUCACACAUAGAAAACUUAGAUACUUCUCAAUCACACUUAGACUUCAAAGGUUAUUCAUGUCACCAAAAACUCUUGAGUGCAUGACAUGGCAUCAUUCACAUGAUGCGGUGGAUGGAGUGAAGGUACACCUUUCUGAUGGUAAAGCCUUGAAAUAUUUUAAUAAGGUGCAUCCUUAAUUUUUAGUGGAAUCAAGGAAUAUGUGUUUUGGAUUAUGUACAGAUGAGUUCAAUCCAUUCGGGUAAUUUGUUACUCCUUAUUCUUGUUGGUUGGUGAUACUCACGGUUUACAACUUACAACCAAGGAUGUGUAUGAAAUUCAUGUUUUUAUCUAUGGUCAUACUUGGUCCUAAUAGUUUGGGUUAGAAUAUAGAUGUUCGUUUUUGUUUGUUGAUUGAUGAGUUGAAGUAGUUGUGGUCAUCCGGGGCUUUGACAUAUGAGGUAUCGAGGAAACAAAAUUUUCAAAUGAAGGCAAAUUUGAUAUGGACUAUCAAUGAUUUUCCUGCAUAUGGAAUGGUUUCUGGUUGGAGCAUGCAUGAAAAACUAACAUGUUCAUACUAUAAGGAAAAUAACAAAGCCUUCACGUUAACAAAUGACGGUAAAACAUCUUUUUUUUUUUAUUUCCACUAGUGAUUCUUGUCAAUAGAUCACAAGUACAGAAAGAAUAGAAAAGAUUUCUUUAUUGGCAGAGUUGAAAAGGGAUGUUGCACCACCGCUCCUAUCGGGUGAGGAAUUAUAUGACGUGGUGUCGGAGUACGAUGACAUUGUGUUUGAUUUUCAACAAAGUAAGCAGAAGUUUCAUGGUUUUGGUCACAAUUGGGUAAAUCAAAGUUUUUUCUAGUAGUUUCCUUAUUAAAAGACCAAUUUUCUCUAUUAUAACCUUGAUGUCAUACACAUUGAAAAUAACAUAUUUGAAAAUAUUUCUAGCAUCGUUAUGGACGUGAAAUGGAAGACAAAGGACAACAUCAAGGGUAGAAUAAAUAUAUCUUUUUUGCCACCGUAACAUUAUAGAGCUGGUUUAUGAUGAGUCAUAGGUCACAAUAAUGCACAGUUACUUGUGUAUCAAUGGCUUAAGAGUUUGCAUUUUCCUAGUGGACAUGCUUCAAACAUAUCAAAGUUGGUGAAUUUAGAGGAUUGCAUAUUGUAUGGAAUGAAGAGUCAUGAUUGCCAUGUGUUUAUGCAAACACUCAUUCCACUAGCUUACCAGGAUUGAUUGCCAAUGGGGAUAUAGGAUGCACUCAUGGAGAUCAGUCACUUCUUUAGAGAUAUAUGCUCCAACAAGUUCCAAAUACAACAUAUAAAGAAGCUUGAAACGAAUAUCAUCCAGACAAUCUGCAAACUUGAGAUGAUGUUCCCUUCAUCGUUCUUUAACUCAAUGAAGCAUCUACCCAUGCAUCUACCGUUCAGGUAAAAGUUGGAGGCUCGAUCCAAUAUAGAUGGAUGUAUCCAUUAUAGAGGUUAGGGAUUACACAUGCAUUGUAAUCAAAAUUCUAUUGUCUUUUUUUAAAAAUUCAAAACAAUUUUUUAAUUACAUGCAAGUACUUGUUCUACCUUAAAAAAAAUUAAAAAAAAAGGUGUAUGUUGAGGCUUCGAUAUGUGAGGCUUAUAUUAUUGAAGAGAUCUCAACAUUUAUCUCAUACUAUUUCGAGCCUCACUUAAGAACAAGAAUCAACCACGGUACAAGGCAUGAUGAUAGUGGGGAAGUGUCUUUGAAUGAGAACUUGUUAAUAUUCUCCCAUCUUGGACGACCCGUACAAAAAAAUGUUGUGAGGAGAAGAUAUUUGACAGAAAUAGAAUUCAGACAAGCAUAUAAUUAUGUGCUAUUUAAUUGUGAUGAACUAAGACCUUUUAUUCAGUAUGUAUAAUACUCCAUAUGUUGUUACUUUUUAACAAUUUAUCUCUUAUACGAUCAUAAACUGAUAGAUUGUUGAAUUCCUCAUGGGCAACAUUGUUAAUUUUUACUGUCCAAAAACUCACAACUGACUAAAUCUUAAAUUUUUCAAUUACAAGAUGAAUAAUUUUCCACAUAGUUUAGAAAACAUGUAAGAAUUGUUUAAUUAUUCUUAUUUCUCAGGAUACUUAAUUUCAUUAUACAUUUAUCAUUAAUUAUGAUGGAGAUGUAAUUCAUGUAUCAAGUUUAUCAAUUAUAAAUGAAUGCUAAUGUUACUUUGAAUUUACUAAGUUUGGGUCCUGGAAGAAAGGUGAAGUGAUAUAAAGGGUAUUUCAUCAAUGAACAUGUGUUUCAUUUAAGAGUAUGGUCAAGGUAGAAGACAUAACAGUGGGGUUUGUGUUAAGGGAUUGACUUCUAAUGAGUUCAAAGUUAACUACUAUGAGAAGUUAAAAGACGUCAUUGAAUUGCAAUAUCAUAACGAGCAUAAUAGUCUUUUUAUUUAAAUGUUAUUGGUAUGAUACCACUAAUAGAGGAAUCAGAGUAGAUCUCCAUCAUGGUUUGGUCAAAAUAAAUACAAAGGCUAGACUCUACAACAUUGACGAUGUCUUUUUUUUCACCAAACAAUGCCAACAAGUUUAUUACUUAUGCAUUCCUUCCUUUAGAAAGGAUCAUUCAUGUCCAGGUUAUUCAAGAUGGCAACAAUGAAUUAAAUGUGGGAGAUGAUGUCUUUUAACUUAAUGAGCUAAUUAAUCCAUAUCAAGUUACUCCAUCUAAUGACUUAGAAGAAAAUUUAAAUUUUCACGUCGCUAAUAAUACUUUGGUUGAUGUUGAUGUUGAUGUUGAUGAGUUAAAUAAUGUUUUAAGAACCAACAGACAUACAAAAAUCAAUAAAGAUGAUGAUAGCGACCAAAUCAACAUAGAAGAUUACGAUGAAGAUGACAUAAUUGAAGAAGAAGAAGACAAUUCUGAUUAAUUUUCACAACAUAAAUGUGUAAUGCUAUAAUUACAAUGUAAUAUUUCUGGACGAAAUUAACUUUAAUGUAGUGACAAUAACAUUAAUUUUAUGUGAUUUUAAUAUUCUACACAAAAUUGAUGUUAUUAUGUUGUGUGUGCUGCUGUGAUUUUAAGUAUUUGAAGGAUGAAUAGAUAAGGAAUAUAAAUACAAUAUGGCAAUAGAAAUUGUUGUACAGCGAUGGAAAUACCAAUAGACUAUAAAAUGCCAACAGAUACACCAAUGGUUUAAGUCCGUUUGUAUAUUCCAGAGAGCAUUAGAGCCUUUCACCUCUUAAAUGCAUUGUUCAUUAUAUUCAAUACAGAGGGUAUCACUAACAGAUUAAGUCCAUCGGUAUAUUCCAAAGAGCGUUAAAAUUGUUUCCCUCUCAAUUGCAUUGUUUAUUGUGUUCAAUAUAGAGGGUAUCACUGACGGAUUAAGUCCGUUAGUAUAUUCUAAAGAGCAUUGGAAUUGUUACCCUCUCAAUUGCACUAUUCACUGUGUUCAAUACAUAAAGUAUCAUCGAUGGAUUAAGCUCGUUAAUAUAUUCCAGAGAGUAUUGGGAUGUUUCACCUCUAAAUUGCAUUGUUCAUUACAUACGGUACCAUCAAUGGUAAUAGUUGGAGGGUUUCUAAAAUUUUUUAUUAAAUUGAAAAUUUCAAUUAGAAUUUAUAGACGGAGACACCAAUGGAAAAAUUAAAAUUAAAAUUUUUAAUUUUUCGAUAGUAAAGACGUCGGUAAUACAUGGCAUGUUUCUAAAAGUUUUUGAUUAAAUUGAAAAUCUCAAUUAGACUUUACAGAUGGAGACAUCGAUGGAAAAAUUAAAUAUUAAUUUUAAAGUUUCUGACGGGAAAGAUUGGGAAUACAUAUGAUAUGACCGACCGAUGAAUUAAGUCCGUCAAUAUAUUCUGGAGAGCAUUGUGACUGUUCAUGUCUCCAAGUAGUGUUCAUUGUAUUCAAUUCAUACUGUAACACCAACAGAGUAAGUUUGUCGGUAUAUUCUAAAGAGCAAUGAAACUGUUCACCUUUUUAUGUCACUUUUAAUUACUUUUCGUUAUAUACAGCUUUACCAAUGAAAUGAAAAAUUAUUGAUGAUAUUUGGGGGUUUUCUUAAAAUUUUUGAUAAAAUAAAAAAUUUUAAUUAGAUUUUUUAUGUCACUUUUAAUUACUUUUCGUUAUAUACGACUUUAACAAUGAAAUGAAAAAUUAUAGGUGAUAUUUGGGGGGUUUCUUAAAAAAUUUUAUUUAAAAUUUUUAAUAAAAUAAAAAAUUUUAAUUAGAUGUUAAAUAUGGAAACACAUACGGGAAAAAAUAAAAAAUAAAAAUAUUUAUUUUUUCAUCGGUAAAACCAUUGGUAAAAAAGUCCUAAAUUAAACUACCAAAAUUUCUCAAAUUAUAACAGACAUGCUGGCUUUCUUCAUCAUCAUCUUCUUCUUCUUCUUCUUCUUCUUCAUUUACAAAUAAACACCAGUGUCCCUCUCUUUCUUUCUCUUAUCCAUCUUCUUCUCUCCUCAACUCAUUUUCUCUUCUCUUCUCAUUCGGGCGCAGUUAUGUCUUUCCUCUCUUCUUCUACUAAAUUCUCUGUUUCUUUUUUGUUAAUUAACAUAUUGUUCAAUUUUUUUUUCUUUUCCUAGCUUCAAUCACAAUGAAAUCAAGGUAAGAUUUUUUUUUCUUAUCUUUUAUUUGUGUAUUAUUAUAUUUUUUUUGUUCUUAACACUUAUAUGAAUGUUGUUGCUGGAAGUUUUUUAAAUAUAAGAACAAUUUUGUUGAAUUUUAGUUGGAUUUAUUUUUUCAAUUUUGUUGUUCAAAUUCAAUUAAAUUUAUAGGAUUGCUUUUAAUUACUAUUAGUUAAUAAUAUUCUAUUAAAAAUUAAUAAAUUUAAAAUAUUCUUAGUUAAUAAUAAUUAAUUAUCUUAUAUUUAUAGUUAUAAGUUCAAUUUCAAUAACAAGUUAAAGUUAUAAAUUUAUAUUGAUUUUUAUAUGAUAGACAAUAUAAUAUUAUUAUGAUAAUAAUUGUAUAUAUAACCUAAUUAUAGAAAAGAAUCUUUUCUAUUUAUAAAGUAAAAUUCUAGUUAAUAAGUAGAUAUUCAAUAAUUAGGUUUGCUCUAUAAUAAAUAUAUGUAUUAAAAAAUUAAAAAAAUAUAUCCUAAAAACAAGGUUGAGUACAAGUUGAGUGAACUCUUCACUCAAUGACAAGGAAACAAAUUGAAUAAAAUCAAUUGGUUUGUGGCAAUUGAAUUUAAAUUGUUGUGUAUUUGCAAGUUUAAAAAUUUUGGAUAGUCUUUCCAUAUAUGGAAGAUGCUGCCAAUUUUUUUUUAAAUAAGAAUAAUUUAUGAUAUCUUAAUCCCUUAAUUUGUGUGGAUGCCCAAGUGGAAGUCAAUAACGCGUCGUACAAACAGGAUCACUGCUGGUUCUUCUACUAUCAUUUUUUACGAUUAUUGGUUGUUAGGUGCCGAUCAAGAACAAGCAAUUGAGACACGGCUGCUCGACGCGGGCUCGUUGAGGGGGUCCCCUUCACAGCGAGAUCCAUUUACUCGGAAGUACCAGACUAAGUGAAAGAAUGACAUUUCAAUGUAAGUUUGUUUUUUCCUUCACAUUGACAUGUUAAUAAUUUUUGAAAAAUUAAUUUCAAUUAACAAUGCAAUUUCAAGUUUACAUAUAUUGAGGCUACCAGAUCCAUAACAUCAGUCAUGAAAUUGUUGAUGGAAAUUCCAUUGUUUCAAUGGUGUGAGGUUUCCAAACAUCCUGAAAGGGAACCUAUGAUUGAUGCAUGAUUCAGAAGGUUUAAGGUUCGUAUUAACUUAAAUAUUUUUUAUAUUAAUUUGGUUAGUUUAUUAAUACUAAUGAAAAUUUUAUUUUGCAAGUUUUAACUGCAAGGAAAAAUUUGAAUGUGAUAGAGAUGACAACGCUAUUGUAAGGAGUGUUCGGGAGAAUCACGCUGCAACUAGGUAAGAUUGGAAUCAAGAUAAAAAUAAUAAUAAUCCUCAUUCCAGCCUUCUAGACCAUUAUCUCUCGCAUAUCUUUUUGUUUUUUUUUUAUGUGUCAUACCAAAAAUCACGCAACCUACUUCCAUAGUAACAAAUUAGAAUUUAAAACAUAAAAUUAUAAAACAAGAAAUUAUAUUAUUUUCUAUGUUAUCUAGUUGCUACGUGAUUCUCCCAUACCCUCCUCACAACAUUGUUGUAUGCGCUAUCCCACUCAAAAUUGUGUUGUGUAUAAAUAAUUCAUUUAAAAUAAAAAUAGUACAAGAUAUAAAAUUAUAAAAAUAAUUUAUUAAAAAUAAGCUGGAAAUUAGAAGUUAACACCUACCUGAAAUCGUCGAAACCAGGCAUCGAUAUUAGGUCUCCACUUAGGAUGUCUGGAAACCUGACUCCAUUGAAAUAAUGGAAUCUCCAUCGACGAUUUAAACGCCGAUAUUAUUGUCCGGGCAACCUUAAUAUUUGUGAACCAGAAAUUAAAUAAAAUUAAUAAAAUAUUAAUUAGUUGUUCAUAAAUUAUGUUAUAAGUAUAAAAAAAACUAAAACCUAAACAAACUGACAUUGAAAGGUUAUCCUUCUAUUGUGCCUGGUACUUGCAGGUGAAUUGAACCCGCUGUGAAGGCACACCGCCUCUGCGCUGUGAAACCGCGCUAGAAGAGUUAGCAUCACAAGUUGCCUCUUCGUGAUCAACACCUAAGGAUAAGUCAUUCUCGCUGCUAGAAGAACUAGUUGCAACCGUCUGCUAACGACAUGUUGUUGAUUUCAUUCUACGCAUCUACACAAAUUUAUAUGAAUAAUUACAUAAUUAACUUCGAUUAUUUAAAAAACAAUCGGCAACACCUCCCCUAUACUGAAAGACUACCCACAGUUUUCAAACCUGCAAAUAUUUACAAUAACCACAAGCCAAUUGACUCUAUUGGAAACUCUUAUAUACAACCUAACAUCUAUAGAAAUUUAACAUCUAUAUAUUUUCAACUAACAUCUAUAGAAAUACAUAAAUGACAAUUAAAAUUAAUAGAAAUAAUAAAAAAACAUAACAAGCAAUAAUAGAAUAAAAUUGAGAUAAAAUAAUUAAAUUUAAUUCUUCAUUUCCAAUUACCAUUUCCAUGGUAAAUUCAACAAUAACAAUUAAAAUUCAACAAAAUUUUCAAAUAAUUAUUACAAUACAAACAAUAAAAUAAUUAAAUUGUCAUUCUUCACAUCUACACAAAUUUAUACGAAUAAUUAAAUAAUUAAAUUUAAUUAUUUUAAAACAAUUCGACAUCACCUUCCCUAUAUUAUAGACUACCCACAGUUUUCAUACCUACAAAUAUUGAUAAUAUCCACAAGCCAAUUGACUCCAUUGCAAAAUCUUAUAUACAAUCUAAAAUUUAUAGAAAUUUAAUAUCUAUAUAUUUUCAACUAACAUCUAUAGAAAUUCAUAAAUAACAAUUAAAAUUAAUCGAAAUAAUACAAAACAUAACAAGCAAUAAUAUAAUAAAAUAAUUAAAUUUAAUUAUAUAUUUCAAUUAACAUUUUAAAGGUAAAUUCAACAAUAACAAUUUAAAUUUAACAAAAUUUUCAAUUAUUAUGGCAAUACAAACAAUAAAAUAAAUUGAACAAAUAAAAAGAAAAAACUAAAGACUCAAGGAAUGAAAAAUGUUUACCUUAAGUGUGUUGAUUUCAAGAUUUUAUCUACAAACAAUACACAAAACAAAAAACACAACAAAAAUAAUCAUAAUUAAAAUAAAAAAAAGUAAAAAAAUACAAAGAUAAAGAAAGGAGAAUCAUACCUUUUAAUAUGUUGAAAGCUACAAUCAAAACAAUAAAAAUGAAAUGAGAAACGCAAAGGAGAAGAGAAGAUGAAUGAGGAGGAACGGAGAAAAAUUGAACCACGUGUUAAAUAAUAUUUAUGUAGUCUUAUUUAGUAAGGGUAGAAUAGUACUUUCAGUUUAACCUAUAUAUACUUUAUUUGUAUUUAGGUUAAGACUAUGCACUCAUAAUAUACAAAUCAUUCAGAAUUCUAGCCUCCUUUUUGUGUUUCAUCUUAAUUAUUUUAACAUGGUAUCAGAGCUGGUUUUAUAGAACGAGGCUUAAUCCCGAACACAACUUCGCGGAUCCAACUUUUUGGAGUGAUAUUUUGUCUCCCGCUUCUGCAAAAUUUGGUAUUUCGUCAGUUUCUGCAAUUAUUUUGGUAUUUCAUCUUCCCUUCAGCUUCUGCAAUUUGGUAUUUGCGUUCAGUUUCUGCAAAUUUGUUUUGUGUUUUGGAGUAAUCGCAUAAUUUUGAGAAGAUAUUUGUUUAGUUCUGUAAUCUCUGUUCAGUUUUUGCAAUUUGGUAUUUAGUUUUCCGCUGCUUUUGCAAUCUGGUUCUCUGUGAUUGUUGAUUAUGGUUACUGAAAGAGAUGAUUAGCUCCAGUCUGUGAGUGUGAGGUUGGAUGGGAAGAACUAUUCAUAUUGGAGCUAUGUAAUGAGAAAUUUUCUUAAGGGUAAGAAGAUGUAGGGAUAUGUUAGUGGAACUUAUGUGGUACCUAAGAAUACUGAAGAAGGAGAUACUGCUUCAAUAGAUGCAUGGGAGGCAAACAAUGCAAAAAUCAUUACUUGGAUCAACAAUUCUAUUGAGCAUUCUAUAGGUACAUAGUUGGCGAAGUAUGAGACAGCAAAGGAGGUUUGGGAUCAUCUGCAACGGUUAUUCACGCAAUCAAAUUUUGCAAAACAGUAUCAGUUAGAGAAUGACAUACGAGCUCUUCACCAGAAGAAUAUGAGUAUUCAAGAGUUCUAUUCUACCAUGACAGAUCUUUGGGAUCAAUUGGCUCUUACAGAAUUGGCAGAAUUAAAGGCAUGUGGUGCCUAUAUUAAGCAUAGAGAGUAGCAACGAUUGGUACAGUUUUUAACAGCACUUCGCAGUGAUUUCGAAGGACUUAGAGGUUCAAUUCUCCAUCGUUCUCCACUGACUUCUGUUGACUCUGUUGUCAGUGAGUUAUUGGCUGAAGAAAUACGUCUUCAAUCUUAUUCUGAAAAAGGAAUCCUUUCUGCUUCAAAUCCUUCGGUACUAGCAGUACCUUCUAAGCCAUUCUCUAAUCAUCAGAACAAGUCCUACACAAGGGUUGGCUUUGAUGAGUGCAGUUUCUGUAAGCAGAAAGGUCAUUGGAAGGCUCAGUGUCCUAAGUUGAGACAUCAGAAUCAAGCUUGAAAGUCUGGUAGCCAGUCACAAUCUAAUGCUCAUAGACCACCUCAGGGUUAUAAACCACCACACCACAAUACCGCAGCAGUAGCUUCCCCAGGCUUUAUUACCGAUCCUAAUACUUUGGCUAAGAAAUUUCAGAAGUUUAUCUCAUUGCAGCCACAAGCAAUGUCCGCUUCUUCUUCGAAAGGUCAGUUGCCUCAUAGUUCCUCAGGUAUGUCACACUAUGAAUGGGUCUUGGAUUCUAGUGCUUCCCAUCAUGUGUCUCCAGAUUCUUCAUCUUUUACCUCUGUGUCCCCUUUGUCCUCCAUUCCUGUUAUGACUGCUGAUGGCACUCCUAUGCCCUUAGCAGGUGUUGGUUCUGUUGUCACACCUCACUUAUCUCUCCCUAAUGUUUAUCUUAUUCCAAAACUCAAAUUGAAUCUUGCGUUUGUUGGUCAAAUAUGUGAUUCUGGUGAUUAUUUAGUUAUGUUUUCUGGUUCUUUUUGUUGUGUACAGGAUCUGCAGUCUCAGAAGCUGAUUGGGACAGGCCGUAGGGAGAAUGGAUUAUAUAUUUUGGAUGAGUUAAAAGCGUUAGUUGCUGCUGCUGUCGCUCCUACUACUACUGUUAAUUUGUCUUCCUUUCGUUUGAGUCUUUCAUCUUCUAGUUUUUAUUUAUGGCAUUCCCGUCUAGGUCAUGUUUCGUCUUCUCGUUUGAGAUUUUUAGCAUCCACAGGAGCUUUAGGAAAUUUGAAAACUUGUGACAUUUCUGAUUGUAGUGGAUGUAAACUGGCAAAAUUUUCCGCUUUACCUUUUAAUCGAAGUAUUUCUGUUUCUUCUUCACCAUUUGAUUUGGUUCAUUCUGAUGUAUGGGGACCUUCUCCUGUUGCCACAAAAGGAGGGUCUCGAUAUUAUGUCUCUUUUAUUGAUAAUCAUACUCGUUAUUGUUGGGUUUAUUUAAUGAAACAUCGUUCUGAAUUCUUUGAGAUAUAUACAGCUUUUCGAGCUCUUAUCAAAACUCAACAUUCUGUUGUGAUCAAAUGCUUUAGGUGUGAUUUGGGUGGGGAAUACACCUCUAAUAAAUUUUACCAAUUGCUUGCCUUAGAUGGAACCAUCCACCAAACUUCAUGUACAGAUACUCCUGAGCAAAAUGGUGUUGUUGAAAGAAAACAUAGGCACAUUGUCGAAACUCCUCAUUCUCUCUUGUUGUCUGCUUUUGUUCCUAGUGAGUUUUGGGGGGAAGCUGUUCUUACUGCUGUAAGUUUGAUUAAUACGAUUCCAUCUUCUCAUAGUUCGGGUCUAUCUCCUUUUGAAAAGUUAUAUGGGUAUGUCCCUGAUUAUUCAUCAUUUAGAGUCUUUGGUUGUACUUGUUUCGUUCUUCGUCCUCAUGUUGAACGUAGUAAGCUAUCCUCUCGAUCCGCUAUUUGUGUCUUUCUGGGUUAUGGUGAAGGUAAAAAGGGGUAUCGUUGUUAUGAUCCAAUAACUCAGAAACUUUAUGUGUCUCGUCAUAUUGUCUUCCUUGAGCAUAUACCUUUCCUUUCUAUUCCAUCCACUACUCAUAGUCUGACUAAAACUGAUGUUAUUCAUAUACUAGUACUGAUACCUCUCCUCAUGUUCGAUCAAUUUGUACUCAUAACUCUGCAGGUACUGGUACUUUACUCUCUGGCACACCUGAAACUCCAUUCUCAUCUACAGCCCCUCAAGCUUCAUCUGAGAUUGUGGAUCCACCUCCAUGUCAGUCCAUCCGUAUUCGUAAGUCCACAAAACUACCAGAUUUUGCUUAUUCUUGUUAUUCUUCAUCAUUUACUUCCUUUUUAGCUUAUAUUCAUUGUCUCUUUGAGCCCUCUUCCUAUAAAGAGGCAAUUCUUGAUCCGCUUUGGCAGCAAGCUAUAGAUGAGGAACUUUCUGCUUUGCAUAAGACAGAUAUUUGGGAUCUGGUUCCUCUACCUUCUAGUAAGAGUAUUGUUGGUUGUCGUUGGGUGUAUAAGAUCAAGACUAAUUCUGAUGGGUCUAUUGAGCGAUACAAAGCUAGGCUGGUUGCAAAAGGAUACUCUCAACAGUAUGAUAUGGACUAUGAGGAGACAUUUACCCCGGUUGCAAAAAUGACUAUUAUUCAUACUCUUAUUGCCGUAGCUUCGAUUCGUCAGUGGCAUAUUUCUCAGCUUGAUGUUAAAAAUGCCUUCUUGAAUGAAGAUCUUCAAGAAGAAGUUUAUAUGGCACUCCCUCCUGGUAUUUCACAUGACUCUGGAUAUGUUUGUAAGCUUAAGAAAGCAUUAUAUGGUCUCAAACAAGCACCUUGUGCUUAGUUUGAGAAAUUCUCUAUUAUGAUCUCGUCUCUUGGCUUUGUUUCUAGUAGUCAUGAUUCUGCUCUUUUUAUUAAGUGCACUGAUGCAGGUCGUAUCAUUUUGUCUUUAUAUGUUGAUGACAUGAUUAUUACUGGUGAUGACAUUGAUGGUAUUUCAGUCUUAAAGACAGAGUUGGCUAGAUGAUUUGAAAUGAAGGAUUUGAGUUAUCUUCGAUAUUUCCUGGGUAUUGAGGUAGCAUACUCACCUAGAGGUUGCCUUUUUUCUCAAUCGAAAUAUGUUGCAGAUAUUCUUGAGCGGGCUAGACUUACUAAUAACAAGACUGUAGAUACUCCUAUUGAGGUCAACGCGAGGUACUCUUCUUCUGAUGGUUUACCUUUGAUAGAUCCUACUUUAUACCGCACUAUUGUUGGGAGUUUGGUAUAUCUCACUAUUACUCGUCCAGAUAUUGCAUAUGCUGUUCAUGUUGUUAGUCAGUUUGUUGCUUCUCCUACUACUGUUCACUAGGCAGUUGUUCUUCAUAUUUUGCGAUAUCUUCGGGGUACAGUUUUUCAGAGUCUUUUACUUUCAUCCACCUCUUCCUUGGAGUUGCGUGCAUACUCUGAUGCUGAUCAUGAUAGUGAUCCCACAGAUCGCAAGUCUGUUACCGGGUUCUGUAUCUUUUUAGGUGAUUCUUUUAUUUCUUGGAAGAGCAAGAAACAAUCUAUUGUUUCUCAAUCAUCUACCGAAGCAGAAUAUCAUGCCAUGACAUCUACUACCAAAGAGAUUGUUUGGUUACGUUGAUUACUUGCUGAUAUGGGAGUUUCCUUUUCUCAUCCUACUCCUAUGUAUUGUGACAACCAGAGUUCUAUUCAGAUUGCUCACAACUCAGUUUUUCAUGAGCGAACUAAGCACAUUGAGAUCGAUUGUCAUCUUACUCGUCAUCAUCUCAAACAUGGCACCAUUGCUUUACCUUUUGUUCCUUCUUCAUUGCAGAUUUCUUUACCAAGGUGUAUUCCAUCUCUUGUUUCGUUUUCUUGUUGGCAAACUCUCGAUGCUUGUAGUUGCCGCAUCGUGAGUUUGAGGGGAGAUGUUAAAUAAUAUUUAUGUAGUCUUAUUCAGUAAGGGUAGAAUAGUACUUUCAGUUUAACCUAUAUAUACUUUAUUUGUAUUUAGGUUAAGACUAUGCACUCAUAAUAUACAGAUCAUUCAGAAUUCUAGCCUUCUUUUUGUGUUUCAUCUUAAUUAUUUUAACACCACGAAGGGGGGGUUGGGUUUUAUACUGCAAUAUUAUUGACAGAAUUACUGACGGAUCUUAGAAUAAUAUUUUCUUGGGCGGUGGCAAUAAUUUUCGUCGGUAUUUUUUGAAUUUCACACUAAAAUUUUAAAAAUCCCUCCAGAAUUUUCGAAGUCAGUCGGCAUGUCUGUCGGUAAAUAGGUGUCAGAGCACGCGCGCAUUGGAUUUCCAGCUUCCGUCGGUGAUUCCUUUGGUAAAUCGGUCGACUGACCUGGCACUCUGACAGUCGCACGCAUGGGAAUGUGCAGCCUCCGUCAAUGAUUCCGUCGGAAACAACAUCGGUGAUUGUGGCAGGGCAGUAAUUUUUUUGCAACUCCCGGUAAAAUAACGACGGCCACAAACUGUCGGUAUAGUCAUUGGUGAUUGUGGCAAAUGCAGUAAAUAUUUUGCAACUCUCUAUGAAAUACCGUCGAAUGGGUUCUGUUGGUAUCGUCGUCGGUAUGUGUGUCAUACUUUUACAUGUUUUGUUUGUAUUGCUUAUUUAUCCUCCUACACAAACGCUUAAAUUGCAAACUUACCGCACGCACAACACAAUAACAAUAACAAACAAUUAUAAAAUAAAUAUUACAUGUUCCAAAAUAUCAUUCAUAAUGUUACAUUAUAAAAAAAGGCUUUACACUUUCGUAUUCUGAUCAUAUUUAGUCAGAAUUUUCAUCUUCGUCCUCAAUUGAAUUGUUAUCAGCUUCAUCGCACUCUUCAAUGUGGUUAUCAUCUUAUUCAUCAACAUUCUCUAGUCCACUAGAGCUCAAAACAACAUUCAACUCCUCUGCGUCAACAUCAAUAAGACCAUCAUAAAAAACACGAAAAUUUAAAUUUUCUUCUAAGUCAAUCGAAGGAGCAACUCGGUAUGGUUCAACCAACUCACUAGCUUGAAAGACUUCAUGUAUCACACUUGUGUCUUCGUUCUCAUCCUGAACAACCUCGACACGACCCCUAGGUUUUUUUUUAAAACGGAUAACCAAUCAAUUCUUGAUCAGUCCUUUCUAAAGGAAGGGGUGUAUGUGUAAUAAACAUGUUGGCAUUGCUUUACGAAAACAAAGACAUCGUUUACGUUGCGGAUUCUAGCUUUUGAGUUGAUUUCAACGAGACCAUAGUGAUGAUCUACAUCUGUCAGUUGUGUCAUACCAAUAGCAUUUGAAUAAAAACAUUGUAUUCUGCUCGCUAUGAUAUUGCAAUUCGACGACCUCUUCUAAUUUUCCAUAGUAGUCAACUUGAAACUCACUAGAAGUCGAUCCCUUAAUACAAACACCGCUGUUGUAUGUCUUUCUUCCAUGCCCGUAUUCUUCAGUAUGAAACACAUAUGCAUUAAAAAAAAUACCCGUUAUAGAACUUGACUUUUCUUUCAGGGCCCAGGCUUAGUAAAGAUAGUGAAAUAGCAGCACUACCUACCAUUUGAUAAACCUUGUAUAUCAAAUACAAUAAUAGUCAAUAAAUGGACAUUCUCUAAUAUUGAAGUAUAGUUACCUUGCAAGAGAUGAUGAGUUUGUGAUAGGACUUACAUGUGUUUUAAACCACGUGGCAAAUUGUUCAUCUUGUAAUUGAAAGAUUUAGGAUUCGGUCAGCUGUGAGUUAUUGGACAGUAAAUAUCAUUGAUGUUGCUUGCAAGAUUGUUCCAAAUUAUAUGAGUUUAUGAUAUCACAAUAUAUAAAUAGUACACUCUCGACAAAGUUCAAGUAGUACAUCUACUUACUUAAUAAAAUUAAGGUCUCAGCUCAUCACAGUUAAAUAGAACAUAAUUGUGUGCUUGUUUGAACUCUAUUUCAGACAAAUAUCUUCCCCUUACGACAUUUUUAGGUGUGGGUCGUCCAAGAUUGGAGAAUAUUGACAAGUUCGCACUUGAAGGCACUUCACCAUCAUCAUCAUACCGUGGAACACGAUUGAUUCUCGUUCUCAAAUAAGGUUCGAAAUAAUACGAGUUAAAUGUUGAGAUCUCCUCAACAAUAUAAGCCUCACAUAUUGAAGCCUCAACAUGCGCCUGUAUAUAUAGAACAAGUACCUGCAUAUAUAGAAUUAAACAAAAAUUAUCAAUUAAAAAAAAACAAUGAAAAAACUUUUAAUUAUGAAUUAUAUUGCAACUGUAAUAUCUAACCUCUCGAAUGGAUUCAUCCAUCUAUACUGGACCGGGCCUCCAACUUUUACCUCAUACGGUAAAUGUAUGGGUAGAUGCUCCAUUAAGUAAAAAAAUGAUGGAGGGAAUAUCAUCUCAAGUUUGCAUAUUGUCUCGACAAUAUUCGUUUCAAGCCUUUCAAUGUGAUCAACAUCCAACUUGCUGGAGCAUAUGACUGAUCUCCAUGAGUGCAUCCCAUAUCCCCUUUGGCAACAAAUCACGAAAAGCUAAUGGAAUGAGUGUUUGCAUAAACACGUGGUAGUCAUGACUCUUCAUUCCAUAUAAUCUGCAUUCCUCCAUAUUAACCAGCCUUGAUAUGUUCGAGGCAUAUCCAUCGAGAAAACACAGACUCUUAAGCUAUUUGUAGACUAGUAGUUAUGUGUUUUUCUCUAGCACGAAGCUUGCUCUUAGUUUUGCGACCCGUAACCCAUCACAAACCAACUCCAUAUUUUUACGGUUACAGAACAACACUAAAUCCAACUCUGCCAACAAAGAAAUCCUUUAUGUUCUUUCUGUACCUGUGAUUCGGUGGCAAGAAACGACGGUGACAGUAAAAAAAAAGAAGCUUUACCUUCGUUUGUUAGCGUGAAUGCCUUGUUGUUUUCCAUACAGUAUAGACAUGCUAGUUUUCCAUACGUGCUUAAACCAGAAACCAUUCCAUAAGUUGGGAAAUCAUUGAUAGUCCAUAUCAAAGCCGCUCUCAUAACAAAAUUAUGUUUCCUCGAGAUAUCAUAAGUCAAAGCUCCAGAAGAUCACAAUUGCGUCAACUCAUCAAUCAACCGUUGAAGACAAACAUCUAUAUUCUAACCCGGACUGCUCGGACCUGGUAUGACCAUAGAUAAAAACAUGAAUUUCAUAGACAUCCUUGGUGGUAAGUUGUAAAUCGUGAGUAUCACCGGCCAACAAGAAUAAGGAGUAGCAAAUGACCCGAAUGGGUUGAAUCCGUCUGUACACAACCCAAGACGCACGUUCCUUGAUUCAGCUGAAAAGUGAGGAUGCACAUUGUUAAAGUGUUUCCAUGUUUCACCGUCAGAAGGAUGCACCAUCACUCCAUCAACCGUAUUAUGUGAUUGGUGUCAUGUCAUGUACUCAACAGUCCUUGGUGAUAUGAAUAACCUCUGCAAUCUAGGUGUGAUUGUGAAGUAUCCAAGUUUUUUAUAUGCCAUAAGAGUCUUUCCCCUACCAGUUCUGGGUUUGUAACGGGAAUGCCCGCAUGUCAUGCACUCGGUCAGCUCAACAUUUUCAAGGUAGUAUAACAUGCAGAAGUUAGGGCACAUGUCAAUUUUCUGGUAUCCUAAACUGAGGGGUUUCAUCAUGGACUUUGCAAUAUAGAAGUUCUCUUUCAGCCUGUUCCCUUUAGGUAAAAUUCUUCUCGCCCAUUCGAUAAUUUUGUCAUAACCGGCCUCACUCAACCCGUGAUCUGACUUGAUGGUGAACACCUGUGCUACAGUCGAUAAUUUACUAUGGUUCGUGCAACCAUCCCAUAAUGAUUCGUCAGAAUCUUUCAACAAAUAAAAAAACCUUGCUGCAUCUGCAUUAGGUUCUUCUUCUACAAUUAGACAAUAACUGACAUUACCUUCAUUCAUUCUCAUUGCAUCCAUAACCAUAUUUCUGUAAGGAUUAAUGUUGUCAUUUACAACUUCAUGCAAGUUGUUAGCAUUAGAAGUUGACUCAACCAUCCUUUCUACCAUGCUCUCAUUAGGAACAAAUAGUUCUCCGUGUGCAUACCAACACAGGUAAUCCUCUAUGAAUCCUUUGGUUAGAAGAUUCAUCGUUACAACAUCUUGAUGCAGAAACUUUUUAUUUUUACACUUCCUGCAUGGACACCUAAUACCGACAUCAGUAAAAUUCCUCGAAAUAGAUUGCGAAAUUAAUAAAACCCUGAACCCCAUUACAAUAAUCCAUCCUCUGCAAUCCUUAGGGUGAGUCUCGAUACAUCUAUGAACGAUCAUCCAUGACUUCUAUAGAACCUCUAUAAAAUUAUGAUGACAACAUGUAUUAAUUAACUAUGUUACGUAAAUAAAUUUGUAAAAAUAUUGGUUCGCCCCGACAUUAUCCAACAAACUAAAAACACACUUAUGUUAAAUAUUCAUUAUCAAUUAUCAACGUCCAUAUAAAUUUAUACAUAUAUAAAUUUACGGAAAUCACAACUCCGCAAUAGAAUUGAUAAAAAUUAAAACGAACCCAUUAAAUAAGCUAUUAUUUAUUUCAUCACAACAUAUCUAAUUCGGUGUAAUUCAAACAAAGUUUCAACAAUUUACAAACAAAUACAAUUUCAUAAAAUCUAAAACAAACUAUAACAACUACAAAAUUAUAUAUUCAUACUACAAGUUUCUUUGACAAAUAACAAUAAAACAAGUACAUACGUUAACAAAAUACUUAUACUAAAAAAACAAUAAAAAAUAACAAAAUUGACAUUUAAAUGUUAAAACUAAAAAGGAUAGAUUUGCUUACAAAAAAUGAUAAAAUCCACAAUAAAUUAAUCGGAGAACAGAUGUUGUCAUGACCAUGUACAAAAGUAUAAGAAACUUGAGUGUUUGUGUUGAGAAGAGGGGGAGAGUUGGGAUGGGUGGUUGGUUGCAGUUUGGGAGGGGAGAGUUAGGAAGGGAAAGAAAAAGGAGAAAUAGAGGAGGAGAGAGUCAGCAAAGUGUGUAUAUAUUGGCUUUUAUCGAUGGAAUCACCGACAGACACGUUCCGUCGGUAUACCCAUCUGUAAUGCUGACGGUGAAUGGGCCACGUCACUAUACAGAGAUUCCGGUUUGAAUCCAUCGGUCAUUUCGUCGGUAAAAUCAUCUAAAAAAAUUGCACGUUAUCACACUGUUUCUCCUUUUCAAAAUUAUAUAGAUUCCGUCGGCAAUCCAGUCGGUAUAUACCGACCGCAUUGUCGACAGAAUCUAUGCCAUCGGUAAUUAUUACUGACAGCAAAAUUAUAUCCGUCGGUAAAAAAUACUUGCCCUCCCUUCUGUAUAUUUUUGUUCCUCCUAAUAAACUUCCUCUACAUAUGUAACACCAAAAAGUUAUGUCUCUCUCACUCCUUACAUUUACUCUCACAACUUCUCUUUCAUUAUCUCUGAAACUAAUCCCUUAUUUUCUUUCCUUUCUCUUUCUACUUGUGUUUUCUUCUUCUUCACACCCCUUAAUCAAAUCAACUAAAAUCCAAUUACAAUUUCUUUCUCUUCAUAUAUUUUUUAUAAUUACUUUCAAUAUUUGUAUUUUUAUGUUUUUACUUCUUUCCUUUUUUUUAUUUUUUUAUUCUUUUUCACUUUUUUUUUAUAUUUUUGUUCUUUUCUCUUAUCUCUCUCAUUUUUGUUAAUGUUUUUAUAUAUAUAUAUAUACCAUGCUUAAUUAUUUAUUCAUAUAGUGUAACUGAUUUAUUUAUUUUGUUAUCGAUUUUUCCUAUUUUGUUAUUAUUAUUGUCAUGUGUAGGAUUGUGUGUGAUGAUGAAAAUAGUUUGAUUUCUAUGAAGUGUUAGUGGUUUAUUGAUUUUAGAUUUUAGAAUUGUUCUUGAUAUUAUGAGAUCGAUAAUCUAUUUUUUUUUCAUUGAAAAAUAUAUAAUUUGAUUCAAUAUUUAAAAGUAGAAUAUGUGUAUUUUUAUUGUUUUAUAUUUUAUCUGUUUAGAAUGUUAUUUUUAUUUAUUUAAAACACCAAAGGAAUCAGCAAAGGAAUUUAAAAAAUAUAUAUUUUUCAAAAAGAAAUCCCUAAAAUUAAAAACCCCAUUAGCAAUUCUCUAGGUGAAAGAUACCAACAAUUAUUUUUUUUUUCCAAUCCAGAAUUUUACCAACUUAUUUUUUCCAUCAGAAAUCUCCUUCAAAAAUUAGUUUACGACGGAACCUUUAAGGCAUAGCGAGGGGUCAAGGCUCGGGCUUGGAGUGGCAAGCAGAGCUGCAGAGGCGGAGGGGAGAAUACAAAUAAGAAGGAAGCGCUGCCCUAUAAAACCAUAGAUAUUAAACCCGGCCUGAGGGUUGACCCGGCCAAGGGGCCGGGUCCCGGGUUUCAGGGGUCAACUCGGGUCAACCCGGAUUAACCCGGAAAAAUAAUAAAAAAAAAAAAUUAAUAUUUCAUAUGAAAAAAUCCAUGUAAAUAUAGAUUAUAUAUAUUAUGAAGUUUAAAAGAAUAUUUAAAAAAAAAAUUUAUCCCACAUUAAAAAGAUAUUAUGUUAAGCUUUUAAGUUAAAGUAUUUAAACUAAAAAAGUUUUUUAUCCCACAUUGAAAAAACAUAACUUUUUCCUUGGAAACAUAGAGUAUAUAUACUAAUGGGUUUCAAAUCCCACAUUGAAAAAACAUAACUUUUUUCAUGGGAACAUGGAGUAUAUAUAUGAAAGGGCUUCAAAUCUUAUAUUGAAAAGAUACUAUGUUAUCCUUUUAAGUUGAAGUAUUUAAACCAAAAGGUUUUUUAUCCCACAUUGAAAAAACAUGAUUUUUUUCAUGGAAACAUAGUGUAUAUAUAUGAAAGAGCUUCAAAGACAUGGUAGGGUGAUUCAUCCCGGCACCAAGGAAAAGUCAUAAUUAAACACUUACGACCAUCUAGACUCGAUAAUCAGAAUUAAUUAAUAAUUUAGAAAAACGACUUAAUAAUGACCCUUUAAUGACCAAUAAUAUUGUCAACAAAUUGAAAUGCAAACUUCUUACUCGACUAAACUGUAAAUAAAAAUUUAAAGCGGACUAGAGAUUUUAUAAGUUUCAAAUUGAAAUUGAUUGAAAGGAACAAGGGUGGUCUACCGAUACUUUAAGAAAGAAAAUUACAUUUGAACCAAUAAAAAAUGAUAAAAAUAUUUUAUUUAGGUUUAAUUUUUUUUAUUCUUUUUUAUAUUUCUCUCUUAUUUUUGUGUUUAUCUUUUUUAUAUAGACUAAAUAUUAGUAGUUAUUCUUAGAUUACUUUAAAAUUUCUCGUAGCCUCUUAUUUUUUUAUCCUUAAUUUGUACAAAAAAAAGAAUAAUUUUUUUAUUAACGUGGAUGUCCGGGCUAGCUUACGUACACCUUGACUAAUUUCACGGGUCUUGAAGUUAAUGACCAUGUAAGCCUCCAGAGACCUUAAGGACUCGAACUCAUGAUCAUUGAAGAGCAAACACAAGGCCUGACCAGUAUUGAGUUACCUCUCAUGGUUAAAAGAAAGACAAAAAAAAAAAAAAAAAAGAUUGGAAGGGUGGGUGAUUAGCACCUGAGUCCUUAUGCUACCACUACUGAUUAAAAUAUACAAGGAAAGCUGCCCCUUUUUUCUAUUAGCUAGGUUUUACCUAAUUUCGAAAGGAAAAAUGAUACAAAGCUAGACCGUGACACAAUGCUCUCAUCACCUAUCAUCGCCACAUUGAGCGUGCAGGUUUUGCUUUGGCUUAGGACAGGCUGCGAUCGAUCUCUGCUUUGAAGUUACAAAAAUUAAUGGAUUAAGAAAAGGAAAGCAAGUUUGAUUUUAUGCAACGAAUGACUUCACCUACGAUGGAGACAAUGGAGUAGGCAUUCGGAUAAGGCAAGCAAGAAUUUCAGACAUCAAUUAAGCAAGCCUUAUCUAUUAACUUGUAAUGUCCGUGGCCAAUUUCUUUUCUUCUUCUAUUCCCUGUGUUUUGCCUAAAUUAAUGUAUAGAAAGCAAAAAAAAUAACAACUUACAAUACCAAAUGGAUGCGUGAAUGUUUUUUUGAAGUUAAAAUCGAGAAAAAUAUACAUUGAAUAUGCUGUAGCAUCGCUCCUUGCUAUUCCAUCAAGUGAAUAAAUGGAUUUUAGCCAUUUAAUGUAAUGUAAUGUAGCCAGACACUAGAUUUUGACUUUUGCAAAGGAAAUAUAUUAAGCAUGCAGUUAAUAAGAAAAUACGCUUAACUGGUCAGGUUCUAGAUUUGCGUUUUAGAGAUCAUCAGUUCGAGUCCCACAAACCUCAAGGUUACUGGAAGCUUACAUGGUUAUUAACUUCAGGAUCCAUGAAAUUAAUUAAGGUGCGCGCAAACUGGCUUGCACACCCACAUUAAAAAAACAAAAAAAAACAGACACAAUAUAACUGGUUGAGAGAGGAAUUAAUGGUAACUAACCAUUUAGUAAUUAAUUAGGAUGGGAAGGAAUAUGGCUGCCAUCAUCCAGCAAUAAAUUAGACGUUAAGAUUUUUAGGACAAAUUAAUAGAAAAAGGUUAUGGAAUGUUUAAGGAGAAGGAACAAAUCAAUGGAGUAAGAUCCGGACUUGCUGUUUCCUUGCUAGUGCUUGCCAUGACGUUAUACCGAUAGGAAAAGAGAAUUAGGUACAGAAACGAUGCUGCAUAAGGACAUUCCAUUUCCCAAGAUUUUUUAUAUAUUUUUUUUAAAUUAUGUUUGUUGUUGAUUUUUAAAAUAAUUUUUAUUUAAAAAUAUAUUAUAAUAAUAUUUUUUUAAUUUUUAAAAUAAACAAUCUUUUGACCUUGUGAAAUACAUGGGGCGCCGGCUGAAAAACACCACCAAACUCAUUCAGCAGCUCUCUGUAAAACCACGUGUAAGCAGACAGGCAAUAAAAAUAAAAUAAAACAGCAAGUAGAUAAUGAAUCAGUUAGGAAGAUCACAAUGAAUGUUCCUUGCCAUCUUAGAAAUUAAAUAAAAUACCAAAUAAUUUUCACUGACUGCCCAACCAUAUUGAAAAAAGCUAAUAAAUCUGUCAAAAGGAAUACAUAAAAAAUUAAAUUAAAGGGAAAAAUAAACUAUUAUAGAGAGAUUCUGGUAAGCUGUAAUGAAGAUGUAGACCGUAAGUUGGGAUAGAGCUUUCUUAUCAGGGUCUUCGUGUGGGUUUCUAGUGCAUGUCUCCCUCAAGAUUUGUUUCUUUCGGCUUGGCGUGAAGAGCUGGACUCCAAUUCAUUAUUACUCCACGUCAACCAACACCCUCCUCCUCUUUUAAACCAGUCCCCGUCUCCCUCCCUCCAUCAAACCUGACUGAAGCCUAAAAGUCUCCUUUUCUUUCAAAAAAAAUGGAGGGUCUUAUCCCUUUUGUGUACAGGGCUAUAAUGCAAUUCAAUAACGGGAAAGAAGCCGGACCUUUAGGGUCAUGGUUCAGUGAGUCACCUUCAGCCUCCUACAUGCGACUUCCUGGCGAUUCAGGUCGGUUUCAGAAGUCCGAUUUACGAAUUCUUGGAUCCGACCACGGCUUCUCUAACUCUUCAACAUCAUCUAAUACGCAUUCUUCAACCACUCAAAUUAUUGUUUCUACCGGAGCUCAAGCUCCUCUUAAUUGCCGUUUGACUUCUCGUCGAGUUGUCUCACAAUCAUGAUCAAGACCCUUGGAAAAACACUGUACGAGUGUGUGACAUGCUUGAAGAAAGCUGAAGGCAUGGAGCUAGCUUGUCAAGGAUGAUGGGUGUGCAGGUAACUAUGUCUAGAGACUUUGUGUGUGUGUAGCAAUCUUAUUUGGUGCCUGUGGUUUCUCAGUUUGGAAUAUGGUAAUAACAAGCGUGUGGAAAACCGAAGGAGCCGCACAGCUUUGUGUUAUUGGUGUGGACGUGAAGGUAAAAAGGAUGUCGGCAUGUGUAAAUCCAAAGGGGCACACAUGCUUUGUAUUAAUCAAUUACCAGCAGCAGCUUAGAUUUGUGUAAAAAUGGAGUUGUAAUAAUGUUUGAAAAAGGUCUAUGUUUCUGUACUGUAAUGGUUCAGUAAUGUCAAUCAGUUCAUGUGAACAUAAUAAAGUUCAAUCCACUUCCUUGCCUUUGGUCAUAGGUGGGAUGUGUUAACAAUUAGCCUUGGCGAUUAUUUGAUGUUUUGUUUCUUAAUUUAGUUUUUUUUUAUUAUUAUUUUUUUGCUUAAUGGCCUAAAUUUCUGCAUUCCAGAGUUUAAUGGGAUGCAGCGAAGAAAAAUAGUAUUUAUGGUUUUUUUUUUUUUUUUUGAUAAGCAAAAUGAAGCCUAUAGAAGGCAAUGUCAAUAACUCAGGGUUCUAUUACGAUAUAACCAGCAGAGCCCAAGGGGUAUAAAACAGAUAACCCAAAAACAAGGAGACCUCCAAGGAAAUGAGCCAUCAUCCUCCGAAAAGACGACAUUGAGCUGACUCAUGUCAUAAGGGAAGUGCGAGAAUGAAGGAGAUAAUGCGAAAACCAGGCCGAACAGAGAUGAAUCAGCUGCUCCACACCUUCACUAACACCAUCUCCAAUUUGCAUACUCUUAAGAGCCUUUGAAGAAGCAUCUGCAAGUUUGUCUGAGAAGCCCUCUUGCACACAUAUUCUGAUUACACAAACACAUGAUUGUCCACUAUUACAGAAACCUUGCCUUUUAACAGUUCCAGCAGCGCCAGCCAUCAAUUUCUUUUUCCUCUGAAGAUCCUUUCUUGAAGAAACUGGAAAAAUUAAUCAGAAAGAGGAGCUUGAUCUGCCAUUACAAGAAAUCUUAUCAUUAAAGCACACUGAAAUAGAAACUGGAGGCAAGAAAACUGUCUGACCAGGAGCUUCCCAAACUCCAGGAAUCACUUGGAACAUCUGAUUCUGCUACGAAGAUUUCGCGAACAAGACAAUGGUCUGACAAUCCCGAAUCGCCUCUGCUGAGAUUUUGAUGCUUCAAUAUCUCUCCAAAACAAAUUAUUCUAGCACACCAAGCAGGGGCAUGCUUCUUUUUACCCUUCAUCUUCUGGUCGUGAACAAACAUUUUGCAAGGCAGAUCGCGCAAAGGAUCACGAGAAUAUGCAUGCCAAAAAUUCUGUAACGAUUGCAUUUCUGGUCCUUCCCUCCAGAAGCCAAAAGACUACAUAGUGGGGACACCAGACCCACACCGCAAAUUACACGGGUAUAUGGAUAGAGAUGACAUAGAAUGACCCAGCCUAUCACAUUUUGAUUAGGAGACUAAGCCCAUUUGGUCUGUCUCAUUGUUAUUUUAUUUAUUUAAAAUUAUUUAUAUUAAACACUUUGAUUUGAUGGGCUGAGCCCAAUAGUGAGAUGUUUUAGGGUUUUACUAUUUAUAUGUUUCUCUGUCAUUUUGUGAGACAGUUUUGAUGAUUAAUGAAAAUAUUGCAGACUUUACAUAUCUUCAAUCCCCUUUCUUCUCUUUUUUAGCUUUUUUCUUUCUCUAAAAGCUUCUUUUUUUUCUUGCUUUAAUUCUUAUUAUUUAUUGUCCCGCAUCAAAUUUGAUAUCAGAGUUAGGGUUUAUAUUGUUCUUACAAUUAAACGAUCCACAUAUUUAUGCUAAACCCUAGAUCUGGUUUGAUCUUUAAAAAAAACACAUUGUUCAUUGUUCAUUGUUCAUCAUCAACAACAGCAAUCAACAACGACGCCUCAACUAAUCACAGCAGCGCCUUAACCAAUCACAGCAGCAGACCCACCACCGAGAAGACCGCCACAUUAGUCCAUAGAUCCACGUCGAUUUACUACCUCCGACACAGACCAGCAGCAACCACCAGAUCGACACCGCAAGAGACAUUAGUAGAUUUUCGGCUUCAGCAACCAAACCAGAGUCACAAAACCACCAGCCACAGCCACCCACAAACCCAUCACAGCCAGCACCGACUGGUGAUUCACAGCAGCAAAGGCAGGGCAACAUAUCUUUAUCUGCAACCAUCCACAGUGCCAUUGCCUUCAGCAGCGACAACAGAUCCACACAUCAACAGGCCCUCGUCCAGCAGCGACACAACAACCCCUUUCAUCGCACCGCCGAUCCCAAACAGAAUCACAGAGCCACGUUUCUUGCGCCAUCGCUGUCAGUAGCGACAAAAGAUUACAGGAGGUAGGGAAGAAGAAAACAGAAGCUCUCAAGGCAAAAUAAUUAACUUCACCAUGUCACCUGCCACAUCAGCACCACGCCACCUGCCAUAUCAGCACUCUGAAACAGCAUUUGCGUCAUCGCCACAUCAGCACCACGCCACCUGCCAUAUCAGCACUCUGAAACAGCAUCUGCGUCAUCGCCACAUCAGCACCACGCCACCUGCCAUAUCAGCACUCUGAAACAGCAUCUGCGUCAUCGCCACAUCAACAUGUCCCACCACGUCAUCUGCCACGUAAUCUUUCGCUGCCACAUCAUCCGGUCAGAAAUUCUUUUACCAAUUGAAUAUCAUCAUUCCUAGUAUGCUUUUACACUUGUUAACCAAGAUUUAGCAUUAAUAUUAUUCUUUGUGCUUGCCCAUAAAUAAAUUACAUAGUCCAUCUCGCAAAUUGAAUUACCUUAAUUUUAGGCUUGUUUAUUGGCAUUGAGUAUCCGAUCAUCUUAAUUAAUUGUGGAGCUUGGUUAAAUUCGUGGGAAAAUUGAAACAUUGUGUUUGGAUUACUUAUGUGCAUUUAGAGGACUUACGUUGCUUGCUUGCAAAUUUUCCUGUUUAAUCUGUCAUUACUUAGUCUCAAAGAUAAAAAUAAAUAAAUAAAUAAAAUAAAAUAAUUUUUUUAAAAAAUAUUAGCUAUAAUUAUAUUUUGCGUUUUUACUUGUAAGUGUUGUUUGUGAUCUUAGUCUUAGGAUUAGUUUUUGCAUGCAUUUAUGUAGUGAUCGUCUAGUACACAAUCUAGAAGUCAUAGCUACCAUGGACUCAA
RNAcentral lists this long non-coding RNA (76255 nucleotides) under Populus trichocarpa (black cottonwood). RNAcentral describes it as "long non-coding RNA (PTRI_LNC003679)". Lineage: Eukaryota; Viridiplantae; Streptophyta; Magnoliopsida; Malpighiales; Salicaceae. The record is from RNAcentral.